GCCUAGGAAACAGGGGGCCUAUAUGUUCUUCCUUAGCAUUUAGCUCUUCCAAAUGAAGCACCUCUUCUAGUGAAUCACAAUUCCUCACUUCUAGGUACCUUAAAUUGUUCAAGCAUCGUAGCAGAUUGGCAGGAAUAGCACUCGACAUAUUCGUGCAGUCAUCCACCACCAGCUCUCUUAAAUUGUUGAAGAAGCUGACAGGCAGUGCUUGGCCAUGCCAUAUUUCUUGCAAGCGUGGAAAAUGCGAGAGUUGCAAAUCCUUUAUAUCACGAAAUCCAAUCUGCACAAACCAAAACAAUUGCACUGGAUAUAUACAAAUUUUUUUUUAAAGGCAUUAUAUAUAUACACAUUAAACUUACAUGUUUUGUGUUUUAACUUUUAAAAAUAUAUAUACAAGGGAGGUGUAUAUGCUUAAAUGUGCAAGUGCAGGGGAGAUGCAUGAACAAUUUGGGUGAAUCGAUUAACACAUACCAUUUCUUCAUAACACUUUUGUAUAGUGGAAUUAAGGUUGCCUUCCCAAUGGUGCGGUUCACCCUCUUCCUUUUUACUCACUUGGACUUUGUAUAGCUUUGGUGUGGAUAAGAUUCCCAGAGAAAAAGUCAUCAUGUCCGGACAAAGUGUCACAAAAACUUGUUCCAGUGAUGGGAAUUCAAGAGUGUAAUUCUCCAAACAAAAGCUGGUAAGCCUUGGUAAAUCAUCAAGUAUCAAAACUUUUAAUUUGCUGAAAGCAAUACGAUUCUCCUUCACUUCUUGUCCAACAUGUCCUACGAUUUCUUCUAAUUUUGGGCAACCCGAUACUUUAAGAUUCACUAGACUACUAGGAAUUCCAACCUUAUUAUGAAAUGUCUGUGUGCAUGUGUGUGUGUAUUAAAAAAGUAAAAAUGUAAGAAUAUCAUUCAACUAGAUUCAAAGUAUGGUUAAUCAUACAAUUAUACAUUUUAUGAACAUAACAAAUUAUGAAAUGUCUACUAGAUAUUUUUUGUCAAACAAAAACGGAACAAGAUAAAUAAAUAAAUAAAAGCCACAUAAACAAAGAUAAUAAAAAUGCAUUUACACUAUUUAGUAUUAGGAACGUAGCAAGAAUUUAAGGCAAUUUCUAAAUAUUUUAGACUUAUUUUGCAUCUUGACGCCAGUUUUUAAACAAAAUUUGCAAAUUUCAACUAUUCCUUUUGGGAAAAAAAAUCAACCAAAAUGCCGCUUUUUCCCUUUUUCCUUGGUCCCUUUUUUUUAUGUAUAUUUAAUUUUGGAAACAAAAUUAAAGUGGAUCUUUAUUAAGUACUUGCAGACUCGAGGAAAUUUCUUUACAAUCAAGGAUCAGUUGUAAAUAAUCAUGAAUUUGUGGUUAAUUAAUGGCAUAAUCAGUUCGAACUAAACAAGAGAUAUUAAUUAAAUUUGAAGACUUUUCUUUUCUUUUUUUUUUCUUUUUCCAAUCAAAAUGUGAAGAAUUAAGGAAAAGAGAAAUAUAUAGAUGAAUUUGUGAACCUAUAAGAUGAGUGACUAUCCUUUAAUUUUUGAUAAUUGUACUUAUUAAGAUAUGAGCAGAAACAAUUAAAUUGAAUUAUAUUAUGCUGUUGAAUCGUGAUUAAAAAAAUUAUAUUGUUGAUUCUAAUGCUGGCAAACCUAAAAACUGGACUUAAAAUGUAGAUUUGAGAGUGGUGGUUCGAAGUACAAUACUUGAAAUAAAUAAUCAGUGGCUGAAUAUCAUUUGUAACCCAAAAAUGGUUAAAAUAUUGUUGGAUGUAAUUUGAAAAAAAAAAAAAAAGAUUCGAAAUGAAUACAACAACCUUACCAAUGGAGGAAAAAUAUUCAUUAGGUUAUCACACCUAGAUAUCUCCAAAUUCUUCAAUUUCCUGAAAGACUCCAAAGCAAGCUGGUGGUGCCAUAUUGUUCUCAGGUUAGCCAUCCACGCAAUAUCUAAUACCUCCAACCUAGGAAGUAGUACCUGGCAGUUAAAGAUUAAAUAACUAAUUAAUCGGCAUAAUCUAUUGAUAACCAAAUUAGAGGCGGAUAUUAACUAAAUUUGAAGACUCAAGGAAAAGACAAAUUAAAUAUUGUGGCUAAAAUUAAUUAAAAAAAAAACCUUUUCGUCAAAGAGAGGUGGAGAUUGCAUUUCAGAAUGAAGGGUGUCUGCUGGUGAGCUCGUAGAGAUGAAUCUUAACAUAUUAUUGCAACCAUGGAUCUCCAGGUUUAGCAAAGAAGGGAAUUCAACAACUAAAUCUGAAUGAAUCUGUCCCGUAUUGGCAAAACUUGUUAGUUCUGGAAGCCAUUCUAGCUUGAGGGAGUGUAGUUUAGGAAAAACCUUUAAUUCAAUCAACUUUCCUUCAUCUCUUUCUGACCACCCCGUGGUGUCGACUACCCCUUCCAUUGACUCACAAUAGCUUAUCUCAAGAUGUUGGAGUUUCGCAAGACUAUUAACCAUAGAAUAUGAAAACAGAUACUUCAGACAAUCACAACUCCACACGAUGACCUUUGUUAAGUUUUGACAACAGUACAUUCCUUGAUUAUGAUCGGCCCAUAAUUUUUUCAUGUUUCUUAAGUUCCUGAUAUUCAAUUCCUCUAAGCUCGGAAGAAUAAUAACCUGCAAAGAAAACCCGUACAUUUUUGUUCCUUCAAGUACAACCGUCUAGUAUAAUAUUUUUUGAUGAUCGAAGAUUAAUCGUGAAUCCGUGAUAAUAAAUUAAUCAAUUAAUUAUUGAACAGAAAAUUAUCACCUUUGGAGCAGGGUCAUCAUCAGCAAUGAUUUCGUUAAAUCCCAAAGAAGAAGUUGGUUUCUCCCUGUCGGGUCCUAUAAACAAACAAAAACAAUAUACAUAAUUAAUCUUUGUUCUUUUUUUUUUUUUGGUCCAAAAUAAUUGAAGAGAAGUCCAUAAUCCCACCAAUACUUAACUUCAACACUUACCAAAAAUCAUUUCCAGAUCAUGGCAAAACUCCACUUCUACCUUUUGAAGCCGCAGUAGGUUUUUGGCUAUGGAGAAUGAGAAAAGAUGCUUCAAUUUGUAACAGGAAUAUACUUCUAUAAUCCUUAAGUUGCUGAAAGAUUGAUCUUCUGUGAGUUGGCUGUCACAUAUUGUCUCCAAAUUGAUCAAACGACGAAGAGACAAUGACUCCAGCAAGGGGAAGACUUUGCGACGAACCCGUCCAACUGAACGGACAAUAUGCAAAAUCUCAGAACAACUUUUUACAGAAAGAUGCUUCAAUCGUGGAAAACCUUCCCCAUCAUCUAAUUCACCCUUCAGUUCUUCUAGAUAGAGAUAUUCAGUUCUCUUCAACAACAGUUUCAUCCUGUAAUUCUGCAAAAGAAUGCCAAACUUUUCUAGCCCCUGGAGCUUCAUCAAUCUUGAUAAUCCAGAUUUAACGGACCGGCUGCUCCACCACGUAUUUCCUAUACAUAUCCUAUAGCUUUGCAAUUCCACAGAGACCAAAUCCUGUGGUAGAAUUUCGGCAUCCCGAACGUGUAUCUCCAAAGUAGUUAGCUUUGACAACCCCUUCAACUCAACAAGACUGGCGUUACUUCCUCCUUCAACCUUCUCCCACUGUGAAAAGCUGUUACUCAUAUAUAGUUCUUCUAAUCGAGAUAAUUUUGAUAUGACAUUUGGAGCUAUCACCACAAGGCUGCUACAAUUGCUCAAAUCUAGCAACUGUAAUCUCGUCAAUUGUCCAAUUACAAGUGGCAACUCCUUAACAUCAGAAUCUCGAAGGCUGAGAAUCUCUAAUUUCUUUAGCUGUCCAACUAUUGCUAUAUCUUUUAGUCCGCAACCAUCUAAACAAAAUGUUUGAAGGUUAAUGAGGCGACCAAGUGAUGAAGGUAAUGAAGAGAAAGGAAUUCUAGUAAGACUUAACACUUUGAGUUCUUCUGUCCCUUCAAAAAAGAGGUCUGAAAUUUGCAUAGGGCCAUAACCCUUUCCAAACAACAAAAAUAACUGGAGAUUGGGACAUUGCAACCUUUCAGGGAGCUCUUGGAUAUCUCUAUGAGGCAAUGAAAUAGCAAUUGGUCCUUUCUGUUUCGUCUCUUCCAUCUUUUUCUCAACGUCAGCAACAUUUGGAAUAUUAAACAUGCGCUUCUCUGCGGCAAUUGAUACGGCAACAACAUGAAUGACGUCAUGCAUUUUAACUUCAUCUUCAGCAUCACCGUCCAACAAUAAGCAUGAAGAUUUGAGAUUGUCGAUCAACCGAUGCACUCUACUCCUUGCUUCUUCCAAUGUGUAAACAUUUUCAAACAAACCCCAACCCACGCCAUAUCUCAAUAAGUCAGAAACUUCUAUGGCAUCACCUUCACUGUACAGACCACAAAGACGGAACAAAGAUUUUGCCUCCGCACUUUCCAAGAAGUCAUAACUCAAUAUUAUGGAGGUGUACACAUUUGCUUGCAUGCCAUGAAUUUCUCUUGCAUCCGAUCUUCUUAGCUGAUUCAAUGCAUCUUUCCAAAAGUCAAGCUCCUUAGUUUUCAGAGCAUUUGCAACUGUACUCAGUGCAACAGGCAAACCUCCGCAUCUUUCAACGAUCUCAUUUGCCAUACUUUGAAAAGCAGAUAUUUUAGUUGAAUCACCCACUAUCUUCUCAAAUAACUGCAAUGCUUCUUCUUUUGAUAAAGCAUCGAUCCAGAAAAUUUUCUGACAAUUCAUAUCAUUGCACAAUAAAUCUCGACUUCUAGACGUCAAUAUUAUUGUGCAUCUUCUCUGAUCAUCCUCUCUAUCUUUCUCAUCAACAUCUCCAGAAGGAAUUCCAACCGCAUCCAACUCAAGUUUUGUCCAAAUAUUAUCCAAUAUAAUGAGGACCCGCUUCUCUUGCUUCAACCUUUCACGCAGUCGAGAAGCUCUAUGGUGUAUACUAUCAUUCAAGUCAAAUUUCAUGCCUAAAUCAGAAGCGAGCUUGUCUUGAAUUUUCUGGGGAUCUGGGUUCUGUGUUACCUCAGCCAUAACGACCUUAUCGAUCAACUUAUCUUCCAUCACUUUCUUAGCAACUUGCUUGACUAGCGUGGUUUUACCCACGCCGCCCAUGCCGUAGACCCCAAUUAUGUUGAGCUUAUCAUCCUUCAACGCCUCCAUAACAUCCUGAAAUACUUUCAUUCUUGAAUCAAAGGCCUCGUUAUCUUUCCCGUCAUUAAGUCCUGUGCUCUUUGGAGUAGGACGGUAGGAAACAUUAGAGAAGUUGCCUUUUCCCACGAGACCAGCGGCAGCUUCUGCGGCCUUUGCUGCUUGUUUACUAAGCUUGUAACGGGACAUCAAAUUUGGGCACAAUCCUUUGAAGCAGAACUUCUUAGCUCUUUCUUCAUCAUCAAUGAUGGAUUUUGCAACCCCUUCACUUAUGAAUUCAUCAACGCUAUGUAGCCAGUCUGUGACACCCUCAUAAAGCUCAUCCCCUUGUAGCCUAGCAUGAUUAACUGGUUGCUGCACCGUUUCUCUUUUAUAUCCCAGCUGCUUUACUUGAUCUUUUAGAUCAUCUAUGUAGCUCUGGUACUUGAACACAUAAGAUAUCUGCCGUAUAAUCGGUUUGAACAAUGACUUUGCACCUUCUGAUACGAUGCUGGAGAAAGCUGCAAGACCCACCUCUGCCAUUGCCUGCUGCUUAACAAAUCUAAUAAAAUGUCAAAGAAAGGAAUUCAAAUAAAUUAAAAUGAACUAGAGGGAAAGACAAAAAAGGAAAAGGCAGUAAACAGUGUCGCAACAUUGAUCUUGAAUCAACUGAAACAUGAACAGAGCAUUUUUUCUUCUUUGUUAAGGAUCAGAGUUUUUGCUAUUAACAAAACCUACUUCAAGCGUCUUAAAAAAAAAAACUGUAAAUUUACCAUAAAUGAACAAUAACUACAAAACUCAAGCAAAACAAGCCACAGAAUUUUUAUCUUGGAAAGUGGAUGGAAUUAAGAAAGAAAUGCUAUAAAGAUCAAGCAUCAGAGAUUAUGCUAUUAAAAGAAAUUAAUUGAAGGUUUUAGAUCAAGUGCGCCUAUUUAAUUAUGUGGGGUCAGAAAGUUGAUGAGCCUCUGUGAUCGCCUUGAAUAUUUAAGAGCAAUUUCAAUGAGCAAAAAAUUUCUGUUACCUGCAGAGGAAUGUGAUUAUAGAGAGCUUAUAGGGUAAUGACAAUGAUUUGGAAAAGAAGAAGACUUAAUCAUGCAGCCCUUAAUAUUUAUUAAAUGACUUGUGAUCAUUUCUUUUAUGAAUAAAAUGCCAAUAGCAAAAAGAGAAAAAAGGGCGAAAUUUACUAAGUCUUAUUUUAUUUUUAAUUUCUUUUAUUUCCAUUCGCCGAAGAGGGAAUCUCUCCCUCUUUUUGUUUUUUUUUAAGGGGAAUCUCCUUACCUAAUAUGACAUAAUGAAAGCAAUCUGUAAAUAGUCAUAUAAUGUAAUAAUUAAAAAUACCCACAUAUUUAUAAUAUUAAUGAUGGGAUCCAUGUGUUUAUACUAAUUAAAUUGGUGGACCAGAAUUUAUUUGACCGUACUUGUUUUCUAUUUAAUUAAGAUUGAAACGAUAGAGAAAAAUUGUCGUAUUGAUUGUUUCGAUUGUGGAGUUCCAACACUGAAAGUGAAGAUUUCAUCAACUUUCUCACAUGGACACGUACCGUCAUGCAUAUUGCAUUAUUUUCCUAGAAAAGCAAGAUUAAUUCUUUUAAUAAUUGUGAAUUCAGGAAAACAGGUGGAUAAUAACUAAAAUAUUUAUUUUUAUAUUUUUGAUAAACGCACUCACUAUUAAUAGAAUUCAUUAGAUAUCAUAACUUAAAUAACUUUUUGUGAUUGAUUGAGGGUAUCUUUUACUUCCCAAUAAUUAACUUCUAUGUUGAUUCUCAGAAAAUUAAUUUUACGAAUAAUUUAGUAGGGUGUUUGGUAAAUGAUGAUUAUUUGACAAUCAGUUUUCAAAUAGUCUACUAUACAAAUUUGAUAAGUGAAAAUUGAAAGUGUAAUAUUCAUGUGCAAUGAUAAAAAUGUACUUGUUUGCUUAUUUGUAGCUUAUUUAGAAUAUUAUUAUUAACAUCAUUUUUUUAUUUACUGGAUUUUUAAAGAGUAUAUUCUACUUUCUUUAUUACAUAUCUAUAUCAUUUUUUUAUUAACUAUUUUAAUUUGCAAUAAAACUAACUUUAAUAUUUUUUAACUAAAAAAUUCAUGCUAACAUAUUAUUAAAUUGAUUAAUAAAUAAGUGCAAAAAGAAAAUGCAAAAAUUUAAUCUUUAUAUAAACUUUUAUGUACAUAAAACUAUUGCAAUCAAAGUAGUUCAUAAAAAUAAAAUAUUCUAUACAUGUGUGUAAAAAAAAAAUAUAACUACAAUAUUGUCCACUCAUUAAAUUUGCAGCACUAUUAUUUCUCAGUCUCCCCAUCUCUCGACCUUUACCUUUAGGAACAUUAACACCAUGAUCUUCUUCUUGAAUUCGACCUCCAUUUCCACAGUAUCAACAAGGCGAUCAAUUUGCUGUGACAGCCUUUCAACUCCUCCCACUUUCCUCCCUUUUGAGGCCGCCCUUUUUCUUUUUCUUUCUUUGAUAGCUUCAAUGGGAACAAACUCAUCUAACGACAAGUACAUUCUUCAACCACAGUAGAAUUGGUUGUUGAUAUUUUACUACUCUCAUAUGGUAUGUAAACAUGGUCACCAGUGAUUGUUAUAUUAAAAAAAAAUUCUAUUCAAUUUUUCCUCUGACUUUGUGUCGAUACCUUUCAUGCAAAAUCUAUUUGCUUCAGAAAUUUCUUCCGUAUGUUGAUAUCAUAUUAAAGUGAAUUCAAGAUCCUAUAUUAUUUUGCAUGACAUCAAAGUUUAGCCGAAUGGUAAAGAAUUUCCCUUUUUGUUUGUCCCACAACUAUAUAGUCUCAUUUUUGGCAAUAAGCUCACAAUAUGCACGGAAAUGAAGAUUUAUUAAAAACUUCCCUAUAAUAUUAAACACUAAACAAUAUCACUAUAACCAAAGUUGGCUGGUGUGAGUGGUUCGGCACUCUCACUCCUUAAGAGAGGUCAGGGGUUCAAGCCCCGCUCUCGUAUGGAGUCACCACUUUGGCCAGCACUUUACCCCUUAUGGGCCGACCCGGUGCGAGCGGGGAUUAGUCUGGGUUGUGGUACGGGCUUAAAGGUGCCUCCCACAGUUGGGGCCCACUCAGGACCACCUCGUGGUUCAGACCAAAAAAAAAAAAUAAACAAUAUCACUAUGUUGUGCAUAUGGUGCCUCGUCAACAAUUUGAUGUUCAUUUUGUUGCUCGGGUGAAUAUGACUACUUGGGUUGCGAGUCCAUGCUUUUGUCGUUUGGAUGGAGGACGGGCCAUCUUUUUAUUUUAGAUGGUUUGUAGGACUUUUGAUAAUUAUUUUUCUAAAACUGAUUUCUGGUUAAUAAGACCUAUGAAAGCAUUCGAAGAAGCCACCGAACUCAGAGGAAAGCCAUGGUUAAAUAUACUGCGAAGUAUGUGAGCUCGUUUUUUAAUCUCUUGAUCACUCAUAAGCUUUUCUAUACCACUCACUAUAUCAUCCUUUUGAAUCAAUUUUGAUUGAUCAUCAGAGAUCAUGUACCCACCUUGAGAUGAUUGAUCACAAAUUUGGCAUUGUAAUGUUGGUCACCUCUAAUUGGCCAUGCUAAAAUUGGGACUUGACAACCAAUUGUUUCACUGUUGAAUUCCAUCCACAGUGAGAUAAAAAUUCACCCGUUGAUUCAUGUCCCGCUCUCUUAUGAAGUCACCACUUUGGCCAGUACUUUACCCUUUAUGGGCCAACCCGGUGCGAGCGGGGAUUAGUCUGAGUUGUGGUACGGGCUUAAAGGUGUCUUCCACAGUUGGAGCCCACUCAGGACCACCUCGUGGUUCAAACAAAAAAAAAAAAAUCCACCCGUUGAUUGAUGACUCAAUAUCAAUAAUUGUGGGGCUCAUCCAUCUAUUAUCAAACCCGUUUCACCGACUUUAUUAUCCAAACCACUACGAAAAUAACUGCCUUCUACUGGUUUGUUCAAAUGACGUAGAGGAUCCAAUCUACCUGCACCACCUUGAAUUACCCAAAUAAACGGUCGAUUUGAUGCUUCUAAAGCAUUGGCUAGUACUAGGUACUCAUCUAAGGUCGGAUCCACUUCAGUACCAAAUGACACAUAUAACACAGAUCCGCGUGAUUUCAAAUUCAAUCAUUGAACGAUCUCAUCUUCCGUCAUGUUAGAACUCCGCCGGUUGGUUCUCAUCUCAUGAUCAUGAAGCACUUAACCGGCCAAUUUGUAAAAUUGUUCAGGUAACAGUGGGCCCACUCCCCACAUCGGCUUUCUCAAUUCAUUGGCUAAAUAAUUAUAAAUGGUCCCUCAAGACCAUCACACGUGUUGAACAUCAACGCCAUUGAUCCCUCCGCUUCCUUCAUCCAGUGUGGUUGAUCACCGGCCUCUGGUGGACCUAUUUUCUCGGAACCAGGUGCACCUCUCAGAGGUGGUGGACCACCAGGAGGGUGCCCAUGAGGCCUUGUUUAAGAUUCGAUUCAAAUAAAGCCAUAUCCUCGGGUAACCCAGGAAGUAAAUGGGCCUCUCCCGGUUUGACAUCUUGGAUGCGAGCCUACCACAUGGCACACUCCACAGCUGCCGAGCAAGCACCAGAAGUGAAGAACCCAACAAUGGGAACUUCAAAAAUCUUGAAAACAUCAGCCGUCCAGCCCAUCAUAACGUCGAUGACUGCACAAACGGGUCGGCUUUUGGGUUCCCGGGUUGAAAGGAGGUUUCGAAGGCCUUGAAGCAUUUGGUUGUGCAUGACAACAUGGGGGUGAGGAGACGAAGGAGGGUAUUUUAGUAAUUUCAAAUAGAGGGUAUUGGUGAAGAGGGGAAGGGGUGAUGCUGUGUUGAAUCAAAAUAGAGUAAAAACUCUAAUUGAUCAAGAAGAAGAAAAACACUCUUUAGAAUAAUCUCACAAAAUUGCAAAAGAGAAGAACUCUUAAGAAAACUUUCAAAUGCUUAUAAUAAAGCUUUGAUUGUUAAAUUAUAAAACUCAAAUACAAAUAAGGUAUUUAUAGGUUACAAGAAACAAUCUAAACCACUCAUUAAAAUAACCACAAACUAAUUUAAACCAUUGAAAUUAAACAUGAGAAAAAUACCUAAUUUUCACCUAACUAAAUUGAUGUAAGCAAUGACAUCAAAUUAAUUUGGGUGUGGACUUAUUUGGGCUAAUAUUGACUUCUCAACACUCCCCCUCAAUGUUAGCCCAAUUCUUUGAAUCACGCCAAGCUGACGACGGAAAUGUUCAAACUUUCCAACACUCAAGCUUUUUGUAAACAAGUCCGCAGUUUGCUCAUCUGUCUUGACUUGCCUCAUCUCAAUCUCUUCUUGCAGAACUUUUUCCCUAACAAAGUGGUAAUGCACUUCCACAUGUUUAGUUCUUGCAUGAAAAACAGGAUUCUCCGCCAGCCGAAUUGCCGAUUGGUUGUCACAGUACAACAGAACUGCAUAAUCUACUGGUUGAUGUAGAUCAUUCAUUAGUUGUAUCAGCCACGUGCUUUCUUGAGCUGCCAUUGCUGCUGCUCGGUACUCUGCUUCCGUAGUUGACAAGGACACAGUCGGUUGUCUCUUGCUACACCAAGAAAUCGUUCCAGAUCCAAGGGUAAACAUAUACCCAGUAGUUGAUCUGCGAGUAUCGUGAUCUCCUGCAUAGUCAGCAUCACAGUAGCCAACUAGUUUGUAAUUUCCACCUUUCUUGUAUAGAAGACCAUAGUCUAUUGUACUCUUCACAUAUCUGAGUACUCGCCGAACCGCUUCUAAAUGAGACUUCUUCGGAUUUUGCAUGUAUCGACUCAUCACACCAACUGCAUAAGAAAUGUCAGGUCGAGUCAAGGUUAAGUAGAUUAGACUACCCACUAAUUGUCGAUACAUCGAUGCAUCUUCCAGGUCUUUGCCUUCAUGUGCACACAUCUUGGCAUUUGGUUCCAUCGGCGUUGAGAUCGGCUUACAUUCUAGCAUCCCAAACUUCUUCAACAAAUCUUUGGCAUAUUUCUGUUGACAAAGAAAUAUCCCUUCUUUCAUCUGAUCAACCUCUAGCUCAAGGAAAUGCUUAAGUUGUCCAAGUUCUUUCAUUUGAAAACGAACUGACAAGUUCUCCUUUGUUCGGAAAAUUUCUUCAAUAUCAUCUCCAGUGAUGAUUAGAUCAUCUACGUACACGAGCACAAUAGCUAUCCUUUCUCCAUUAGCUUUAGCAAACAAGCUGGAGUCUGCAGAUGUUACUGAAUACCCACUUUGAGUUAGAAAUUCAGCAAUCUUGCCAUACCACGCCCUGGGUGCUUGUUUUAGUCCGUAGAGAGCCUUUUGCAGCUUACACACAUACUCAGGAUGACCUCGGUUCUGAAAACCCAUCGGUUGAAUCAUGUAGAUCUCCCGAUCCAGCUCUCCAUGGAGAAAGGCAUUCUUCACGUCCAUCUGCCACAAGUUCCAGCUUUUGUUGGCUGCAAGUGCAAGUAAGACUCGGACGGUUGUAAGUUUUGCCAUUGGACUAAACGUUUCGUCAUAGUUUAGUCCAUAUUGUUGAGAGAAACCACGAGCUACCAAUCGAGCCUUGUACCUCUCGAUUGACCCAUCUAGACGGUGCUUUAUUUUGUAAACCCAUCUGCAGGAUAUGGGUUUCACAUCUUUUGGCUUUGGCACGAGUUCCCAGGUCUGAUUUUGCUCAAGUGUAGUGAUCUCGUCUUUCAUAGCUGUCAUCCACUCAGAACUCUGUGAUGCUUCUUCGAAUGUCUCAGGUUCUAUUCCAGUUGCUUCUUCAACUAUGGCUGCAUUAGCGUAUUUGGGAUUUGGCCUUCGGGUUCUUGUUGACCUUCGUAAUGGAGUUGAUUCUUCCGUUUCACUAGGCACACCUUCUUCAUCUGGUUGUCGAUACACCCCAGAUUGCCAAGGAUUUAGAGUUACUCUUCGUUCGCUAUCACUAUCGCAUAGAUCCCCAGCUGAGCUUAGAUGAAUUUGGACAGUAUGCUCCCCCAUCUUUUGUUGUAGCAUGUCUUCGAAUUCUUUCGAGUCUGGCAGCACUUCUUUUUCUGAGGUCCACCAUGAGGAUGCUUCAUCAAACACCACAUCUCGUGAUGUGUAGCACCUUUCAUUUACUGGAUCACAACACUUCCACCCUUUUCGCUGGUUGUCGUAUCCUACAAAGAUACAUCUGACAGCUUUCUUAUCGAUCUUGCUACGUAGAUGGUCAGGAACAAAUACAUAGCAUACACAGCCGAAUACUCGAAGAUAGCUAACUGUAGGUUUCUUGUUCCACAAUUUCUCAAAGGGUGAAACAAACUCCAACCUUGGUUGAGGAAGCUUGUUGAUGACAUGAGCUGCAGUUCUCAUACCUUCGGCCCAAAAUCUUCCAGGUACAUUCUUCGCAUGUAGCAUACUCCGGUAAAUUUCAGCAAGAUGCCGAUUCUUCCUCUCUGCUACACCAUUUUGUUGUGGCGUAUUAGCACAAGUAUACUGAUGACGUAUUUAGCAUUCCCGUAGGUAUUGAGAAAACUCUCUCGAGCUAUACUCACCCUCGUUGUCUGUGCGCAAGCAACGAAUCUUUUGCUCCACUUCUCCUUCGACUAUCUCUUUGAACUCUUUGAACUUUGAGAAUGCUUCAGAUUUUUCUUUCAUGAAGAAAGCCCAUACAUAUCUGGAGAAAUCAUCAAUGAACGUAACCAUAUACCACAUUCCGCCAAUUGAUGGUUGCUUAACGGGUCCAAACACAUCAGAGUGAAUUAACUCUAAUGGUUUAUUUGCUUUAAACUUCGACUCCUCGUAUGGCAAUUGAUGUGCUUUACCAUAUUGACAUCCCGCGCAAACAAUAUUUGUUCUCACGUCAAGUUGAGGAAGUCCUUUAAGCAUCGACUUCUUCACCAUCACACUUAGCUUGGAAUAAUUAACAUGACCUAGCCGCAUGUGCCACAGAUCUGCCGUCUCAUUCCUUCUUGUCUUGUCUACGUAUGCAGACUCAGCUGACAUCACAUAAACUGACUCCAAUUGUCGUCCCUCCAUCGUAGGCUUUUCUGAGAUCUUUAAGUCUCGGAAUACCUUCACAUUUUGUGGACCAAACAAGACAUAGUGGCCUGAUGAUGUCAAUUGAGCUACGGAUAGCAAAUUUUUCUUCAUUCCUGGAACAUGGUAGACAUCUUGAAGUGGCACUUGGUUGGGACUAUAUCGAGGUGUAACGAUCGCUUUACCGAUGUGAGCUAUCGGUAACCUUGAGUUGUCAGUUGUUACCACCACACGAUUUCCCUUGUACUCAGAACAAUUUUGCAACUUCUGUCUAUCACCCGUCAUGUGAUUUGAGCAGCCUGAGUCUACGAUCCAAUCAUUCUCGUAGUUAAUCUUUUCUGGUGUUGUUACCGUGAGAGCUAAUUCUUCUUCCUCCAUAGCGAGUAAUGCUUCGGCAUCCCAGUUAUCUUCACUAUCUUCUUUAGAACUAGAAGUAGCAAUAUUGCUUUCGGUAGACUUCUUUUUGGACCAACAAUCUCUCUUCAUGUGGCCCUUCUUCCCGCAAUUGUAACAUUCGCCAUCAAACUUUCUAUUACUGUCGCGAUUCUUCGAAGCUCCCCCUGGACGAGAGCCAUUCCCUCCCUGAUGACUUUUUGUCUGUUCACCAGUCUUUCUAGAUCCGCCUUUGUUGUGCUGUCUUGAACCACCUCUGCUUUGGUUGGUGUAAAGCGCUUCCUCUUCACCCUUUAGUGAGACUCCUCCCAUUUUCUUGGCCAUAGCUUCUUGGCCUGUCAGCAAAUUUUCAAACUCAACAAGUGAUGGUUGUGUCGGCCAUCCUUGCACAGCGGCUACAAAGCUUCGGUAUUCGGGUCUCAAGCCAUGGACAAUUAUUCUUUUUAUCCUGGCUUCCCCAAUAGCAGCUAUUGGAUCUAAUUCUGAAAUUUCACGGCAUAUCGACUUCACCUUGUGAAAGUAUUGGGCAAUCGCCAUGUCGCGUUGCGCCAUUGAUAGAAGUUCAUUCUCGAGAAGUUGCAAUUUUGUAUCGUUCCUCUUCGAAAAGAGUGUAGCGAAGGUGUCCCACGCUUCCUUCGGUGAUUUAGCAUCCCGAAUGUGCUCCAACAUUUCUUCUUCUAUUGUGGUCUUUAAAGCAAACAUUGCUUUGCCUGCUUUAAUUUUCCACUUCCGCAAGACGCCGUUAGCAUCUUCCGCUGCCGGUUGUGUAACUUCACUACCACCGACAACCUCCCACAAGUCUUGACCUUGAAGGUAAGACUCUAUACACGUUGCCCACGUGUUAUAGUUUUGGUUGUUGAGCUUUUUGAUUCCUCCAACAACUUGAAGAUCACCCAUCGUAUCGGUAUCGACAAGACUUUGACUACACCGAACAAGCUUGAGUGACUACCGUGCAGAGUAAUACACUACUCUUGACACAAAGAAGCUCCCUCUCAAGGUUUGUGAUAACCCCAGCAAUAAUCUCAAGAAAUCUUUUCUGAUGUGGAAGAUCAGUCAAAACUGCAACCACAGAGCAUACUCGGAAUUUCAAGAGACUUUACAACCAAUGCUCUGAUACCAAAUGUUGAAUCAAAAUAGAGUAAAAACUCUAAUUGAUCAAGAAGAAGAAAAACUCUCUUUAGAAUAAUCUCACAAAAUUGCAAAAGAGAAGAACUCUUAAGAAAACUUUCAAAUGCUUAUAAUAAAGCUUUGAUUGUUAAAUUAUAAAACUCAAAUACAAAUAAGGUAUUUAUAGGUUACAAGAAACAAUCUAAACCACUCAUUAAAAUAACCACAAACUAAUUUAAACCAUUGAAAUUAAACAUGAGAAAAAUACCUAAUUUUCACCUAACUAAAUUGAUGUAAGCAAUGACAUCAAAUUAAUUUGGGUGUGGACUUAUUUGGGCUAAUAUUGACUUCUCAACAUGCUGGUGGCGGAAAUGUGAGAGGGAAUGGUGAGGGUAGAUUUGUAAUUACGAGAAGCGAUUUGCUUGCAUAAUUUAAUGCAUGGAAAUAGAUGUCCCUGACCAAAGAAUGGGACAAUCCAAAUCUCGGCCUCAGCAGCGCUGCAGCAGUAGCAACAGAGCUUGACAUCUUUUUGAAUUAUUUGAUACUUAAUUGUUACUGUUUGCUUUUACCAUCUUUCAUAAAACACUCUUUGUUAUAUAUAAAGGGAUGACUUAAUGGAGAAGUAAGUGUUUUAGUUUUACAGUUUUACUAGUAGGUGAGCUCGGAGUUUGAUAAUUUGAUUGUUAGUUUUAGUUGGUUAGUUAUGAGAAAGCAUCUUUAAGAAAAUUCAUUCCAGUUUCAACUAAAAUUAAUAAUAUUGUUCAAAUUAAUUACUCGAUAAAUAAAUAAUUAGAGAUAAAUUUAUCCCUAAUCUCACAUUUAUAAAAUAAGGAUUGAAAUAAGUUUUUGUGGGUUCGAACUCAAGCCCUCAAGUCGAGCGGCUGGAUCUUGACUACUUUGACUUAAUUAUUAUUAUUAUUAUAUAUAUAUAUAUAUAUUUUUUUUUUCAUUCUGUCACGGAACAUCUUUUGUUAUAUAAUGAAGAAGAUAAGUUGACGAAGAAGAGUUCUACUUUUACUAGUAGAUGAGCUUUGAGUUGACAACGUUAGUUUUAGUUAGUGAAAUAUCUACCAUCCAAAUCAACGUUCUUUAGACUAUUAUUCAAGUGAGAUGUCUGAGUAACAUACGCUUGAGUUGGUCGGUGCCUGGCAAUUCGUGUGAUACAUGAAACCAACCGAUAUGAAAACCAAAUCAAGUUGGUAGGAUUACAUUAAUUUAAAUUAACUUUCAAGUUCUAAUAUUAUAAGAUAAAUAAAUAGCAUAAAAUAAUUUUUAUUUUCAAGUAAAUAUGUUUAUCGUUUAAAAAUUAUUUUUUCUUGCGGUAAAUGCAACACUAAAUAAGGAGUGAAUAGGGUAAUUUGUAGGGUAUACCCCCACCUUUUAUUUCAUUUCAUUAUUAAAAAAUAAAGGCUUGAUUCAACAUUCAAGUAAAAUUAACAAUUCCAUGAUAAAAUUGCUUGAGAAUAAGAAUUAAAAUAAAAAAAGAAAACAGCAACUCAAAAACGACAUACAAAUACCGCAUAGAGGUUUUUCGUCGCAAGAUAUUUUUGGGUUGAGCAACACUUGUAUAACAGAGCAUACAGACUGAAUGACGGUGAGAAUAAGAAGGAAAACGGCGCCACACACCGAAAUGCCAGCCCAUGGAGUAUUGAAGUAAUUUUGUUUCAAGUUUGCCCUCCAUUUGUAGCACGUUCUUUUGCAGUGAUCAUUCAAUCCUUUGCAUAGCCCAGAAAAAUAGAAGCUAUCAGACAGCAGAGUAGUACCUCUAGAAAGGUUAUUUAUAAGCAUUGACGCAGUCUCUUUAUCCGGCAACCGGUUCUCAAUGAUUCCGUUCUGAACAAGCAACUCGACGUCCUUCGCUGUGUUCACGAGAUGAUGAAUAAGGAACACAUAAUCAUUUAUGUAAUUCUCUGAGUAAUGCCGUUGUUCAAAGGCAAUGAGAUUACGAAAUAAGGAUUCCGUUUCCAGCUGUAGCUUCAGUUUCGGAAUAUGCAAUGUCCUGUUUUUGAAUUCUAUGGCGAACAAAUCAUUGCUCUUGCUCAAACUGAAGUGGACUCCAGCUUGGUGGAGAUCAGUCACACUUGGUGCGGUUUUGCCUUUGUGGUAUUGCUGACCUUCUUGUUUUUCCUGAUUCCUCGAUGAUGGUAGAUGACAAAUCCUUAGAAAAUCAAGGAAAUGCUCGACCCUAACCUCAGUGUAAGGAGGGAAUUUUUGCUGAUUACCUUGUACUGCCUCUAAACCCUUGAAAUACUCGUAUGUGACUGUGAUGAUGGUUGGAUUUUCAUGUUGGUCGGGGAUUUCAAUAGCAAAAAGAUCCUCAAGAAUGAAGAAAGGAAGCUGAUUCUCAAGCAACCACAUAUCAUACCAUAUAUCCUCUAUUAAAUAGGGUUUAAGAAAUAUAUAAUCAUCUUUUUUUUGAAGUUGACGGAAAUGAUGCCUCAAUAAGAGUUCAAUGAUGAAGGCAGCAUCCAGCAGAAUCAUUUCAACAAAUUUAUCACUACUUAGUUCGACUUUUUCUGCAUAAGAACCUCGUAAUUCUGCUUCUCUGAGCUUUAUAAUUUGAACAAACUCGUCAAAGCUUAUUUUGGUCCGUUGAAGAAAGUAACGCAGGUACCGCUGUUUAUGUUCUUCCAUGAACUGUAAGUUUGCUUUGCCAUGGUGAAGAGGGCCAAUUGAGACUACCUGAGCUGUAUAUGCCUUUUCAUUUAUCUGACGUAAUCGCUCCGGAACUCUGUAGAUGCAGCAGUUUGAGGGCAAUGGUGAUAAUUUUUCCAACUUAACUUGCAAGCACUCUUCCAUGUUAUAAACUGAAAACAUGGCGCGAAAUUUGAUCAAUUCACUAGUUUAUAUAAUAUUCUUGAACCUCAUCUUAAGCAAAGCAACAAAAGCCUUCACUGUUUCUUAACAACUUUAUUGCUCUAACACAUAGCAUAACAUUUUUAAAUUUGCAUAAAGCACAAUAGUACUUUAGUUUGUAACAACAGCACAGAUAAUAAAUAGCAUUUUAUAGCUUUAACAAAAGCAUACAAAAUUCUUAAACCUUGUUUCAAGCAAUUCAUUAAUGCCACAAGGAUGUCUUUUUGCUUCCUACAGUUUUUAUUGAAAUUCAUAUAUUCUUCUUUAUCAAAUUAAGUAAUUUUCCUUUUUCAAAAAAUCAAGAAGGUUUCGACUGCAUGGAAAUACAGCACACAAUUACUACUAUUCCCGGAGUAAGAAAUUCAUAAAUGCAAUAUAAACAUACAUUUUCAUAAGACAUCAGAAUCAAAGAAUCAUCAAUGCAUCAAAUCUGUACACCCAAAAAAGUUGAAAGCACCAAGAGAAAAUUAUACCGCAUGGACCCUUUACAACCCUUAUAACGAGUUCAGACAGCUACAAUGUGCAAUACAAAAUUUCCCAAUACUAUUUAGAACAAAGUCUAGAAAACAAAACUUAUAUAUUGUACAAAAUCAUGAAAACCAGAAAUGACAAAAAACCUGCAAAUGUAAUUUUUGGGUUUCUUCAACAUAUCUUCCAUCCAAAUCAAACAAGAAUCGAUAAAUCAACAACAUUCAUCUUUAAAUGACAUAUUACCACAAUAAAAUUGUCAACCAAGCCUCAUAUAAACCUUUUUUGUGUUUUGUGGUAAAUAUAUUUGUUAUUCUCUAAGAAUACUAGGGAAAAAAGAAACCCACUUUCUUAAUCAAGAAUCAAAUAAUAUAUAUUUAUCUAAGCUGAAGUAAGUCUUCGGUUUGAUGAAAUAGCUUGCAAUGUGAUUUAGAUUGGAAAGGAAGUUGAUUUUUGCUGGUUGAGAGAGAGAGAUUUGAGACUUAAGAGUGUUGCUAAUCUUCGAUCGUGUAAACAAGGGUAACUGGGUCAUAGUUCAAAAUAAGGGUCCAAAAUUUACUAAAGCUAUUAAGGAGCCCAAAACUCAUAAUGGCUUGCCCAAAAUAAAUAAAAUUUUCGAGCAUUAAGUUUUUGUUUCUUCUUGAGAUUUCCUUGCCGUACUUACCCAUAUUUCGAUAUUGCCUCCAAGUAAACUUAUAUAUAUUGAUUAACAAUAUAAACAAGCACUAUGAAGUUUUAGGCAUGAAAGAACAUUAGGAUUGAAAUGAAAACCAUCUAUUUAAGUAACAAAUUCUUCUGAUAAUUUGAUGCUUAAUUUAGAGCAGAGAUGACAUAUCAAUCACGUUAUGAUGUGGAAGUUAUGAUUAUAUUCAUCUUAAGAAUAAGAUCUUUCAGACACUGGCAGAUUAGUAUAAAAAAUACUCAGCAUAAGACCUACAAACUAGAAAUCACGCACCAAUUAUUGAACUCAGCACAUAAGUUGAUCUUUUAUAAGCUAUAAAACAAAUCUGCUAUAACAUAAGAAAGUGGGAUUUAUCACCAGACAAGUAUUUUGGUGAAAUUCAAGCUGACGGAAGGAUAUCCAAAGCAACCUCCUUAAGGGAAGGCAUCACUUCCUGCUGAUGCAAACAUGUAUAUUUAUUACUCACUUUCUUGAGGACCUUCUAGGAACCUGGGCAGCACCUAACAGAAAGUGGAAAAGAAUAAAAUGUAAAAUAUAAGUUAAACAGCAGGAAAACAGUGAGUGAUACUAGGCAAGCAUUAAUAUGUUGCCGCAGGAAAAGUGUCAGUAACUAGCUAGCAAACCUGAAAAGGGUUCCUCCAUUGUGACCCUUAAAAUUGUGAAUGUAAAAUAUGGUCUCCAUCACAGGAAAAAGUGUUUUGGAUAGUGCAGCCAGCUUAGGGUAGAAGAAUGACGGAUAAUCUUUAGCUCAUUUAAGGAAAUCCUCUCUGAUCCUUUCAUUGCACAUUCCAAAACAACUCUACUACAACCAAGUUACCAAUUCUUUUUGUUAAGUCAUUGUUAUUUGUUAAAAAAAAAAAAUCUUCCUUGCAACAUUUUAUUGAAAGAUAUAACAUGAUCAUCCCUACUAAUUCCCUUUUAGAUUUCUGUGAGUGAAUUUCAAAUUAUUGUAUUCAAAAAUAGAAGCAAAAGACCCACUUUACUUUCAAUUUCUGCAACAAGAUACCAAUUGAAGGACCAAAAAGUUGUAAACAACCAAUUCAAUGGGUGGGCAUCUAGAAACUGCUAUAUAGCAUCAAGAUCAUACUAAAUUUACAGAAAGUACGAUAAUAAUGAAAGAAUGGUGAAGGAUACACCCAGACCUUAUCCGGUCAAGUUCUCCAUUGAAUAUAAUCAGUUUCCGGGCAGUAUUGAAGACAACUUCUUUGUAAAGCUCUUCAACGACAAGCAUUUCUACAAGACAAAAGAAAAGCAAAAUUAAUUACCUUAAGGAAUGAAUAUCAAUGAGAAGACAACGUGUAAGACUACCAUUGACAUUAAAAUAUGGAUACGCGACUAGAAACAAUUCAUCUUCCGGCUUCACACGGUCUGCCUUUUUAACCUUCUCAGUGAAUCCAAAAUCCUCAAAGAAUGAAGGUUUUGUUAGAUAGUCCAACUUAAAUGAUGAUCCUUCAAAGACCUAUUUUCUUGCAAAUUUGACUUCAUUUGCCUCUGGGAAAAACUAAAAACCAAAUGACAGACCAAGAUCACAAAACGAAUCAUGAACAUAGAUAUCAGAUAAUCAGAAAUGGGCAUUAAACAGACUACUAACAAAUAGGAAAUGCAUACAGAAAACAUUAUUCAUACACCUUAUGCACAUGAAAUAUAUAUGCAGUGGGAUCCUCUUGUGAAUUUAGUUUAUAUCCUAAAAUGAGACAAUGAACAAUUGGAUGCCAUCUAAGGGCUAACAUUUGUUUGAUUAUUAUAUGAAAAAAAAAAACAAAACAGAGUUGAUUGAUGGCCUUUGAUGGAUUGCCUACACUCCUAAAGUGCAGAGAGCCUGAUUAAUUGCUUUACCUGCCCCCCACACACACACUUGAUUUUAUUAUCUCUCUUUUCAAAUAUAUAAUCAUUGCCUGUCUUUCAUCCUGAUCCAGCUCUCCUUCCAGGCACCAGCUGUGUUUUCUUCAAUUCAGUGAAGCAUUCACUUUCAGGUAAGAAUAAACUUGUCCUUCCUCAAAAAUCAGCUUCUCACCAUGAAGCUUUCUUUUUCAAAACAAUUACUAGUCUAGCAUAAUGCAUCUAAUUGAAGACAACUCAGAAUUGAAAAAGCCAUACUUUAAUGUCUGCUGUUGGGACCUCAAGACCAGGAAAAAAAAGCUUCUUUCUAACUGUUGGAUUAACAAGUAGAAAUAGCUUUUUUCUGAAGGACCCAACAUUGCAUUGAAAAAUUCAACAAAAGGACUGGCGUCAUAUUUAGUCCUGCUAGAAUUUUGUGCACUUAACACAAUGGUUAAUAAUUGGCCCAGCAGACACUUUGUCGAACUACUGGCAAACCUUGACUGUGGAAAUGCAUAUUUCAAAUGUUGGCAGACUCUAGCUUCUUGAUGUACUGUUGAUAAAAAUGCCUAUUUCAAAAGUUGGCAGGCUCAAACUGCCGAGACUUUGGUUUCUUACAUUUCAAACCCACAAAUAAAACUUUGGCAGAACCCCAGAAAGAGCUACACCUCCCAAAUUUGAUGACAUAUGAAGAGACCAUGCCUAGUGCUUGGUUCGGCAAAUGAGUAAGUUUGAAAUAAAUUGAGGGAAACCUUUCCCACAGAGAGUCAUUUUGAAGGUUACAAUUUGAAGACUUUGUCCCCUGUCGCCCGUAACCUUCUUUGAUCUCUUUUCUUAGUCAUGAAUAAUCAAACAUGUGUUAGUGGUUGGAUGCAAUCCACUCGCUGACAUCUCAUGUCCACAAUCAAUCAACCAUAUUUUAAUAGAAAUGGAAACAUUUUAAUUAAAAAAGAAUGAGAUAGGAACAAAAUCAAGCUUGGCAGACAUGGGUCUAUGAGAUUUUAAAGAUGCUUGGUGAAAGUCGUAUUCAAGAGUUCAACAAUCAGUUCCAUCACCUAUGGCAAAGUAACCACCGCAACUAAAGCAAUUACAAAACAUCAAGAAGCUUGAACUUGGCAAGAGGUCUCAUUAACAGUAUACCUCAGAAAUUAAGACAGAAUUAAAGUGCAAGCUUUUGGAUUUAUUUAAACACUGAAAAUAAUAUGGGUAGAAGCUCCUAUGGUCACAGCAAACAAUUACAAAGCACAAAACCCAAAAAACAGAUAUGCAAAAAGCUGCAAAAGAACAUUAUUAGCAAUUGACAUCUGCUUUUGCUCAGACAAAGGUUCUCAUAACAAAGGACUUAGUGAUUAUCUGUCAUAUGUUUAUGUUAAGGGGAAAAAAGAAGUUUGUUUUAGUCAAUCUCAUGUCUAUUGGCAUUCAUAAGGAGCCCAAAAAUAAAAGAAAAAAUAAAGAGUUAGUAGGUGUUUCUUGCAACACAAAGAAAAUUUAUCAUCCAUGAAAAACUUAGUAUGGAAAAAGCUAACUCAUUUAUCUGCCAAUGCAGAAAAACUUGUUGUCUACCCACUAAGGACCCACCAUUGGCAGGUCUGAUGGAUCCCAUGGAUGGGAACCACAAAUAUUUUAUUCUAAAUGACAUGGGUAUUGCACCCAUAUCAUUUAAUUUGUAGAUUCCACUGAUGGAACUCAUCAAACUUGCCAAAUGGCAAGUCCUCCGUGGGUAGGCGCAUCACUUCAGCAUCCUUCUCCACCGAUGACCAAAUCUGGACUCAUUUAAAAAGAAUACAAAGCAAACUAACUGACAAAAAUUGCAUAUAGAGGUCUAGGAGCCAAAUCAAUGUUGUUAACUCAUCCAAUUAAUACAUUCUCUUAGAGGUCAUACCUUGGUAACUCAUUUCAAAAGAAAUUAAAAGAAAAAUGACUGCACAAAUUGUACUGAGCUCAAGAAGACCUGUUCAAGGUGUUCACUUGUCCAACUAAUAAAAGUCAUCAAGGAUUGUAUCAGGGACUUGGGACCAAUCCUGCCUUAACGAGAGAAAGGGAAUUUAGGAUGAAGAAGAUAACCUCUUUUCCUAGAGCAAAUUAAGCUGGUAAAAUCUUGGCAGUUGCACUUGGGGCAGAAAUUAGUUCCACCUUGGUUUACAGGACAGAAAUUCGUCAUAUGCAUGUAUUUAUUUAUAUUUUAUACACAUACGCAUACAUGUACACACAAACACUACCUUCACUUUGAAGAAAAGAUUAAAAUAACACUGCUCACAUACACAAUACUUACUAUUCUAGUUCGUGUGACUUUCUCCGGAGUCACAAAUAGGUCAAAGAAUUCGCGUAUUAACCGCAUACUUCCAGUCAUUUCUAUUCCUCCUUCACCAUCACCUUUCCCACAAUUACAAAAAGUGAGAGGUAGUAACCAACAUAUUUGGGUUGUUCUUCGGUAAGGGGUGGGAGGUAAGGGUUAGUUGUGGAGGGCACCUGGUACAGAAUCAAGGCCAGCUGUUGGGAAUUUGAUCUCCUGUAACAUAUACUUGUUCAUCAUAAACUAUAUACUUAUUCUGCAGUCGAUGUGGGCAUAUAGCUCUUCAAUUAUCCAGUAAUAACUCACCAUCAACUUCCUGCCAUCCUUCAUGGCUAAUUCAGCAGCUAUUUUUGCCUGUUUAAAGGGCAAAAGCCCAAACUAAGCAGAUGCUCCUACUCCGAUACUUAUUAUCUAACUACUACAGAACAGAUGAUACACAUCAAGUUGUGUCAAGAGAGACACCAAGUUGUGUUUUCCAAGAGGUUCCAAAGAGGUUUUGUGUUAGAGUGCAAUUUAUGCACUAGUUUUGAAUUGUUUACUUCCUUAAUAUCGAUGUUUUGCACUUAAUAAUAGUGAUUUACUUGUGUUUUAUUUUUAUAGGUGCAAUUAUAUUGAUUGGUGCAAAAAUUGAGCUACAAGACGAUGUUUAAGGAUGAUUGUUCUCUUGGAGAAAUUAUGAGCGUCAGAAGAACUUUGUUGAUAAGGCGUGGGCGCGUGCUGUCAACUACGGACCUGCAGUUUUUAGUUUAACGUGUUUUGUAUUUUUGGUUAUUUUUAUAAUUACGAAUUUAAUAUUUCAGAUAUUAGUAUUUUAUUUUAAAUAGAACUCUAGAGGAGAAGAGAGAGAGAGUAUUUAAGGGAAGAAUCUAUUGUGAAAAAAGGGAGAUUUUUGGAAAAGAAAGAAACCCUAGAUCUAAAUUUUUCUCUUCUCUCCAUGAAGAACUAAAUCUAUUAUUCUGUUUGAAGGUUAAUGAAGCUUUUAUUCAUCACUACUGUGAGAUCUUUCUUAUGCUUUAAUUGUUUUAUUGCUUUUUGGGUAUUUGUUUAUUCUCUGAAUUAUUUUCAUGAUUAUGUUUGUUAAUUAGAUAAUUGGCUACUAUUUAAUUAUCAACUUAAUCUAUUGUCAAUUAAAGGAUUCAUCGUAUGAAGAUUUUAAUGUUUGUGACAAAUAACAUAGCAGAGAGUUGUGUUGUGAGAAUAAACAAUCUAAUUUAAAUGAACCAUCGUAUGUGUUUGUUGAUUAGGAUUUGGGUCUCUCUGGUUUUUCAAGCUGUCAAUUGAUUAAAUCCUAUGAUCGUAUCUAGGGUUAUCUAUUGAUUAGGGAAAUAACCAACGGUCAUACCUUGGUUAUCGACUAAUUAAGGAGAUAUUGGCUAUUAGAGGGUCUCAGUAGCUAUAACCGGUCUAUUCAUAAGUAGUAAUAAUUUAUAUUUGAAUCAAUGAUCAGUAGUCGAAUCAAGCUGAGUUAAUUCCUUCAACCAGAGCUUUCUCCAAUUUGAAUUACAACUUUAAUUUGCAUUCUUGUUAUUUUAAUUUGAUUGUUAUUAUUGUCACAAAACCCUCAUUUUAUAUUUUACGUUUUAAAAGGAUUUAAAUAAUUACCGAUCUCUGUGGACACGACUUUGCUCAAUCACUAUACACAAUUUAUUUAGAGUAGGUAUUUAUUUUUGUUGGCUUCGACAACCUUCAAAUUUUGGCGCCGUUGCCGGGGAUUGGUGUCAUUUAUUUAAUCCUUUUUACGUUUUACUUGGUGUAUGGUUCGUUCUUCUUGUACAGGUACACUUUCGUUUGAUCCUUAAAUUGAGAAGACAGCUCGCCAGCUGAGACAGCAGACGAAGCGAGCUAAGCAACGACACUCAUCGCCUUGCUUUCUGAAACAGAUACGGUGCCUGAUUUAGUUGAAUCAUCAAGCGAUUUAGAAGAACAAGUGAUGGAUAGAGCUGCACCUGUAGAAAGAACUCUUAGAGAGUUAGCCGAACCAGACUUGAAUCAGCAACCACUCUACAUUCAAUAUGUAGACUUGGAGGUAAAUUUUGAAUUAAAGUCUGGUCUUAUUCAUUUAUUACCCAAGUUUCAUGGUUUUGCAGGUGAAGAUCCUCAUAAACAUCUCAAGGAGUUUCAUGUUAUGCGUUCAAGUAUGAGGCCACAAGGCGUGACUGAAGAGCAAAUUAAGUUGUGUGCUUUUCCUUUCUCUUUAGAUGGGCUAGCUAAAGACUGGUUGUAUUACUGUUAGAGUGCAACUUAGCAUAUAAUUUUUUAGGCAAGAAAGAUCACUCAGGAGUUUUCUCUAAAACUGAAUUUUAUUUUAUCUGGUGCAUGUUAAAUGAUGUGAGGCCUAAUUUAGGUUUUUGGUUAGCAGAUCAAUUUCAAAGUGUGCUUAAACGGUAUAGGACUUUAUUUCUUGGUCCAUACAUUACUCUGUUAGCUAUAAACCUAUGUGUGCUUGAUCCUGACAAUAAUGAUUUGCAUCCUGCUUGCAAAAAAGAAUUUUUGGAUAUGUUUAUGUUUGAAAGAACAGGUGUGGUCGAAUUCAAGGAGCGGAGAUUUCAGUUUACUAAACCAGGGCCCACUCAACCUCCGAAGAAGCUUUAUGCUAGGAGUGGUGCUACCUCUGAUGACGAGUUUGACGACGACACUGCUGCCCCGCCAACUAUUCCUUCUACAUCCGCACCACCUUUGAGCAUUCAGUUAGAGAAAAUGGAGCACAAGCUGAAUAAGAUGGAGCAAAAUUUGGCCACAUACUUCGAGAAUGUGGGAUUUACCUCACCAUUUCCGCCAAGCCAAUAGACGUUAUGUGGAUCAAAGCUCACAAUUCAGGGAAGUUUUUUUUGCCUUUAAUCUUUUAUCCUUACGCUUUAAUUUUUAUGUGAGCUUUGAUUAUCUUACAUUGGGGACAAUGUAAGUUCUUGGUGUGGGGGAGGGAUUUUUGCAUUAUUGAUGUCUGGAAUUAUUAUUUUCACUCUACUCAUCUAUUUUCACUCUACUCGUCCUUAAAUGAUUUUGGAGUUAGUAUGCUUCAUAUAUUAUUAAUUUCCUUUUCCUUUCUCUCUCACUACUCUUUUCCCAUCUAUCUCAAAUUAUUUACAUCUAUUUUUUUUUCUAUCAUACUCUUUCAUCACUUACAUUUUAUCUUUCAUUUUUUUACUACAUACAUCUUUCUCGCUUAUUAUUUUUUUACCUUUCUUUUUAUAUCUCACUCAUACCUUCUUCUCAUUCUACACCACUCUUGAUGGUUGAUUCAUUUGAAGAGUGUACAUGAUUUGAUGGCAAAUUUACCAACUUUGUGAGGAUUUGAGCCUGUGAGCAACCACUUUGCUCUAAUUAUUUUUGUUAUGUGAAUAUCAAUCUUAGUUUGUAUAUUCUAGAACUUGCUUUGUUAAGCAUGUUGAAGCCACAUUACGGGAUUUUAUGCAUUAAAAUGAUAAGGGCAAACCAUUUACCAUUUUUCUAUUCUCGCAUUUUCUUUUUUCUCUACCCGAAGACCUUUAUUUGCUACCUUUGUUUGAGCCUUAACCAUUACCCAUCUAAUUCUUUCCAUCUACUUAACCAUUUUUCUUCUUUUUGAGCCUAAUUUAAGGAGAUAUUUGGACUCAUUGUGUGGAUAUAUUUUGUUGCUUUUUCUACCUUGUAUUAAAGUUUCUCAAUUAGAUCAACAAGCAUUAUGCUUGAAUUAAAUUGUGCAAGGUUCGUUUCUUUUGUUUGAUUAAAAAAAAACAACAAAAAAAAGGAAAAAGAAAAAAAAGUGAAAAAAAAAUCGAAAAAAAAAAUUGAAAAAAAAGGUUUACAUUCUUGGUGACUUGAGUAGAAAUAAGCAUUUUGAUAUCAUAAGUUCAUUCAAUGAGUUCAUUCUUCUCAUUUUGAUCUCUUUUUCUUUCAUAAACCUUUCUUUUUUAUUUAACCUAUUUAACUCCAUUACAACCCUUUUAAGACCCUUAAUUUUUUGCAUUUUAUUUAUGUUUUAUGGAUUGAGAUGUGAUAUAUGAGCAAGCUUAUGGUAAUAGCAUUCUUUGAUUUGAUUUGAGUGAAUAAAUGACACCCUAAACACUUUGAGUGCAUGGAGUGAAGUCAAUGAGAGGGCUAUUAAAUCUUGUUGCACUUGAAUUUUGAAUGGAUCUUCUUGGUGGUUGAAUGUUCUUAUUCUAUCUUAUGAGAUUCUAUGCUUUAAAAUCCUUGCCUCUCGAAUGUUGAUCGACUUAAAUUCUUGAGGUAUGCUUGCUUAAAAUUGUUUUUGGAUGAGUUGAGAUGAAAAUUGAGUGGAGAUUUGGGAUUAGUCUUGAGUUAUAUGCUUGAGGACAAGCAUCAUCUUGGUGUGGGGAAUUUGUUAGAGUGCAAUUUAUGCACUAGUUUUGCAUUGUUUACUUCCCUUAAUAUCGAUGUUUUGCACUUAAUAAUAAUGAUUUACUUGUGUUUUACUUUUGUAGGUGCAAUUCUAUUGAUUCUUGAUAAAAUUGAGUUAUACGAUGAUGUUUAAAGAUGAUUGUUCUCUUGGAGAAAUUUAGAGAGUCAUAAGAACUUUGUUGAUACGGCGUGGGUUCUUGCUGUCAACUGCGGACCUGCAGUUUUUAGUUUAACAUGUUUUGUAUUUUUGGUUAUUUUUGUAAUUAUGAAUUUAAUAUUUCAGAUAUUAGUAUUUUAUUUUAAAUAGAACUCUAAAAGAGAAGAGUGAGAGAGUAUUUAAGGGAGGAAUCUAUUGUGAAAAAGGAUUUGGAUUGGAGAAAAAGAAAGAAACCCUAGAUCUAAUUUUUCUCUUCUCUCUAGGAAGAACUAAACUUAUUUUUCUGGUUGAAGGUUAAUAAAGCUUUGAUUCAUCACUACUGUGAGAUCUUUCUUAUGCUUUAGUUGUUUUAUUACUCUUUGGGUAUUUGUUUAUUCUCUGAAUUAGUUUCAUGAUUAUGUUUGUUAAUUAGGUAAUUGGCCACUAUUUAAUUAUCAACUUAAUCUAUUGUCAAUUAAAGGAUUCAUCGUAUGAAGAUUUUAAUGUUUGUGACAAAUAACAUAGUAGUGAGUUGUGUUAUGAGAAUAAACAAUCUAAUUUAAAUGAAUCAUCAUAUGUGUUGAUUAGGAUUUGGGUCUCUCUUGUUUUUCAGGCUGUCAAUUGAUUAAAUCCUAUGAUCGUAUCUAGGGUUGUCUAUUGAUUAGGGAAAUAUCCAACGGUCGUACCUUGGUUAUUGACUAUUUAAGGAGAGAUUGGCAAUUAGAGGGUCUCAAUAGCUAUAACCGGUCUAUUCAUAAGUAAUAAUAAUCUAUAUUUGAAUCAAUGAUCAGUAGUCAAAUCAAGCUGAGUUAAUUUCUUCAACCAGAGCUUUCUCCAAUUUGAAUUACAACUUUAAUUUGCAUUCUUGUUAUUUUAAUUUGAUUUUUAUUAUUGUCAACAAAACCCCCAUUUUAUGUUUUACGUUUUAAAAGGAUUUAAAUAAUUACCGAUCUCUAUGGACACGACCCUGCUCAAUCACUAUACACAAUUUAUUUAGAGUAGUAAUUUAUUUUUGUUGGCUUCGACAACCAUCAAUUACUUGCCACCUGGAUCGAUUACAACAUGGAAUGGUUUGAAGAAGCAGUUCCUUGAGAAGUACUUUCCUGUUGUAAGAGCUGCCAACAUCAGAAAAGUCAUUUGUGGGAUCAGACAACUUCUUGGGGAGACUUUGUAUGAGUAUUGGGAGCGAUUCAAACAAUUGUGUGCCAGCUGUCCUCAGCAUCAGAUUUCUGAUCAACUUCUUAUUUAAUAUUUUUACGAAGGACUGUCAUUGAUGGACAGGAGUAUGAUAGAUGCUGCUAGUGGAGGUGUGUUGGUGAACAAGACCCCUACUCAAGCAAGGGAGUUGAUUGCAAAUAUGGCUGCCAAUGCACAACAAUGUGGCAGCAGGUAAGAUCUCACUUCAAGGAAGGUGAAUUAGGUAAAUAUUUCUUCUGUUGAACAACGUUUAGAUAAACUUACUUCUCUUGUGGAAAAGUUUGUUGUAGGUAAUGUGCAACAGGUGAAGACUUGUGGCAUUUGUUACAAUAUGGGUCAUUCAACCGAUAUGUGUCCUACAUUUCAAGAAGAACCCGUUGAACAAACCAAUGCAGUUAGAGGAUUUCCAGGCAUGCCUUAGAGGAGGUAUGAUCCUUAUACACAAACAUACAAUCCGGGAUGGAAGGAUCAUCCCAACUUCAGCUAUGGAGUUAGACCAUCAUGAUUCCCGCAACAGUAUCCACCAAGACAACCAGCACCUCCACAGUCAAACUCCAAGUCAGGUAUAUCUCUUGAAGAAAUUGUUAAAUCACUUGUGACUAACACUCAACAAUUUCAACAGGCAACUACAGCAAGCAUUCAGAAUUUGGAGAACCAAAUGAGUCAAUUGGCGACUACAGUGAGCCGUCUGGAGUCUCAAGUAUUAGGGAGAUUGCCUUCACAAUCUGAGGUGAAUCCAAAGUAAAACGUUAGUGCUGUCAUCCUUAGAAGAGGGAAGGAGUUGCAAGAUCCCAGUAAGAAAGUGACAAAGCAUGUAGAAGAUGAGUUUGAGAAGAAUGAAUUGAUGCCUAAAUCUCAAGAUGCGCAACCCACCAAAGCGAAACCCCUACCUAUUGUGAUACCUCCUCCUUUCCUAAGCCGGUUUGCAAAAUCCAAGAAGGAGGAACAAGAGAAAGACAUCCUUGAGACAUUUCGCAAGGUUAAGGUAAAUAUUCCUUUAUUAGAUGCUAUAAAACAAAUACCUCGAUAUGCUAAAAUCCUUAAGGAACUAUGCACCUCCAAGAGAAAAGUAAGAGGAGAUGAAAAAGUUCACAUGGGGGAGAAUGUUUCAGCAAUUCUCCAAAAGAAACUACCUCCUAAGUGCAAGGAUCCAGGUAUGUUUACUAUCCCUUGUAAAAUUGGUAGUGUUAGAGUUGAAAAUGCUAUGUUAGAUCUAUGAGCUUUUAUUAAUGUCAUGCCUCGUUCCAUUUAUUCAUCUUUGAAUGUUGGGCCAUUAAAAGAAACUGGCGUGAUAAUUCAACUAGCUGAUAGGUCUAAUGUAUAUCCUGAUGGGGUAUUAGAAGAUGUUUUAGUACAAGUUAAUGAGUUGGUUUUUCCUGCUGAUUUUUAUGUACUUGAUAUGGAAGAGGAUAACUCCUCUAAUUCUGUCCCAAUUUUGCUAGGAAGACCUUUUCUUAAGACUGCUAGGACUAAAAUGGAUGUACAUAAAGGGACUCUCACUAUGGAGUUUGAUGGAGAGGUUAUAGAAUUCAAUAUGAAUGAUGCCAUGAAAUAUCCUAGUGAAGAACAUUCGGUAUUUUCUGUGGAUGUUAUUAACCCUAUAGUGCAGGAAGUUUUUUACAAGAAAAAGACGAAGAUAUUUCAUGAUAGAAUGAUUUUGAGAAAGGAGUUCUUUGUUGGUCAAAAAGUUCUUCUUUUUCAUUCUGAGCUUAAACUUUUUCCGGGUAAAUUACGUCCUUGCUGGGUUGGACCUUUUAUUGUUACUAAUGUUUUUCCUCAUGGUGCAGUUGAGAUUCAGAGUUCGACCUCUGACAAAGUUUUUAAGGUUAAUGGUCAUCACUUAAAACCUUUUUAUGAAGGUUUUUCGGUGAAUAUUGUGGAGAAUGUGGCUCUCGAGAGUCUCAAUUAUGGAGAUUGAUGCAUAAACGUGUCUAGCCAAAGACAUAAAACAAAGGCGCUUUUUGGGAGGCAACCCAAAUGAUUUAUUUAUUUUGGUUUUUGUUAUAUCUUCUUUUAGUUUUGAUUCAGAUUAUUUUUUGAAAAAAAAUAAUGUGUUUGCUUAUUUUGGUCAGAAGAAAAUUUUUGAUAAGGCGUGCUCACGUCUUAACUAAUAAGUACUUCUGUGAUUUUUAAAGUAAAAUGGUUUUAAGGCGUGCCCACGUGCUUAUUAGAAAAGUACUUCUGAAUUUUUUUUUAGUGUCUCAAAGUGAUUCAUCACUAAAAAAAAAUGAAAAAAAAAAUUAUUUAUUUAUUUAUUGAUUUGAAAAUUAAAAAAAAAAGAAAAAAAGAGUUUUUUUCUUCUUUUUCUUCUUUUCUUUCUUAUAUAUAUUUAUUUAUUUUAAAAAAUAAAAAAUCACUAUUCACAAAUCCCUAAUUCAAAAAUUACUGUUGAUUAUCGUUUUCCAGCAGCGCGCCUCGGCUCCAGCCUUCACUGAGCAACCAGCAGCAGCAGACGAGCACGCUCAGCCCCAGCCGCAGCGCGCAGCAUCAGCCCUAGCCGCAGCACACAGCAUCAGUCCCAACCGUAGCGCGCAACGUAACGCAACCAGCGUCACCAGCGCAGUAGAACCAACCCCAACCCGUGCAUCAAGCUACAGCCGAGCAGCAAUCGUCCGCAACCCGCCUACGCACUGUAUUCCAACCGGGUAAAUCGAAAUCCGUGAGUGCAAUUAUUAUAACAAUGCCGAAGAGGAAAGCAUCAACUUCCAAGUCAUCUAAAAAGACACCCGUCGCAAAGAAGUCCAAGAUUGCCGCUCCCACUACGGUUCCAUGGAACACAGUUUCAGAUUCACGCCAAGCCGUGAGACAAAGAACGAAACAUGGAAAGGGCAUGAGUGUUUUACUACUUGCGGAAUCCAAUCUUGGAGGGGGCCUCGCAUUCACGACUCAACAAGAGAAAGAAAGGUACAAAGAUAUUUCCAAGCAAAAAAUACUUCCAGCUAAGUAUAUUCAUUACCCGACUCUUGAAAAAUUGAAUGUUAAGGAUAAUUUUGAUUCUUUGAUAGAUAAGAUUGGUUUGCGUAAGUUUGUUGAUGUUGAUUGUUUGAGUUAUGUUGAGUUGAUUAGGGAGUUUUAUGCUACUUUUCAAUUUAAUAUACCGUAUGAUUUUACUUUGCAUACCCCGGAUAUUAUAAAGUUUAGGUUAAUGGGAUGGAGUUUUUCACACUCGAUCAUAGAUUUUAACCUAGCUUUAGGAUUCAUUGAUGAUGAUUAUUCUUCUAGUGAUGCAUAUUUAGGAACAACUUGUGACUUUAGCGAAAAUUUUGAGCCUUAUGGUCUUUGGCGUAAUUUAUCUGUUGAUCACAAUGCCUAUAACCCAAGUAAAUCAAUGAGUUCUUUCUUACGUGACCCUGUUUUGAAAUGUGUGCAUCGAUUCUUAGCAUAUAAUUUUUUAGGAAAGAAAGAUCACUCAGGAGUUUUCUCUAAAACUGAAUUUUAUUUUAUCUGGUUUAUGUUAAAUGAUGUGAGGCCUAAUUUAGGUUUUUGGUUAGUAGAUCAAUUUCAAAGUGUGCUUAAACGGUAUAGGACUUUAUUUCUUGGUCCAUACAUUACUCGGUUAGCUAUAAACUUAUGUGUGCUUGAUCCUAACAAUAAUGAUUUGCAUCCUGCUUGCAAAAAGGAAUUUUUGGAUAUAUCUGUGUUUGAAAGAACAGGUGUAGUCGAAUUCAAGGAGGGGAGAUUUCAGUUUACUGAACCAGGACCCACUCAACUUCCAAAAAAGCUUUAUGCUAGGAGUGGUGCUACCUCUGAUGACGAGUUUGACGACAAAACUGCUGCCUCACCAACUAUUCCUUCUACAUCCGCACCACCUUUGAGCAUUCAGUUAGAGAAAAUGGAGCACAAGCUGGACAAGAUGGAGCAGAAUUUGGCCGCAUACUUCGAGAGUGUGAGAUUUAUCCCACCAUUUCCGCUAAGCCCAUAGACGUUAUGAGGAUCAAAGCUCACAAUUCAGGGAAGUUUUUGCCUUUAAUCUUUUAUCCUUACACUUUAAUUUUUAUGUGAGCUUUGAUUAUCUUACAUUGGGGACAAUGUAAGUUCUUGGUGUGGGGGAGGGAUUUUUGCAUUAUUGAUGUCUGGAAGUAUUAUUUUCACUCUACUCAUCUAUUUUCACUCUACUCAUCCUUAAAUGAUUUUAGAGUUAGUAUGCUGCAUAUAUUAUUAUUUUUCUUUUCUUUUCCUUCUCACUACUUUUUUCCCAUCUAUCUCAAAUUAUUCAUAUCUAUUUUUAUUUUACCAUAUUCUUUCAUCACUCACAUUUUAUCUUUCAUUUUUUUUCUACAUACAUCUUUCUCGCUUAUUAUCCUUUUUACCUUUCCUUUUAUAUAUCACUCAUACCUUCUUCUCAUUCUACACCACUAUUGAUGGUUGAUUCAUUUGAAGAGUAUACAUGAUUUAAUGGCAAAUUUACCAACUUUGUGAGGAUUUGAGCCUAUGAGCAACCACUUUGCUCUAUUUAUUUUUGUUAUGUGAAUAUCAAUCUUAGUUUGUUUAUUCUAGAACUUGCUUUGUUGUGCAUGUUGAAGCCGCAUUACGGGAUUUUAUGCAUUAAAAUGAUAAGGGCAAACCGCUUUCCAUUUUUCUAUUCUCACAUUUUUCUUCUUUUUCUCCACCCGAAAACCUUUAUUUGUUAUCUUUGUUUGAGCCUUAAACAUUACCCAUCUAAUUCUCUCCGUCUACUUAACCAUUUUUCUUCUUUUUGAGCCUCAAUUUAAGGAGAUUUUUGGACUCAUUGGGUGGAUAUAUUUUGUUGCUUUUUCUACCUUGUAUUAAAGUUUCUCAAAUAGAUCAACAAGCAUUAUGCUUGAAUUAAAUUGUGCAAGGUUCGUUUUUGUUGUUUGAUUAAAAAAAAAGGAAAAAAACAAAAAAAAAAAAGAAAAAAAUGUUUACAUUCUUGGUGACUUGAGUAGAAAUAACCGUUUCGAUAUCAUAAGAUUCAUUCAAUGAGUUCAUUCUUCUCAUUUUGAUCUCUUUUUCUUUCAUAGACCUUUCUUUUUCAUUUAACCCAUUUAACCCCGUUACAACCUUUUUAAGACCAUUAGAUUUUUGCAUUUAAUUCAUGUUUUGUGGAUUGAGAUGUGAUAUAUAAGCAAGCUUAUGGUAAUAGCAUUCUUUGAUUUGAUUUGAGUGCAUAAAUGACGCCCUAAACACUUUGAGUGAAUGGAGUGAAGUCAAUGAGAGGGCUAUUAAAUCUUGUUGCACUUGAAUUUUGAAUGGAUCUUCUUGGCAGUUGAAUGUUUUUAUUCUAGCUUAUGAGAUUCUAUGCUUUAAAAUCCUUGUCUCUUGAAUGUUGAUCGACUUAAAUUCUUGAGGUAUGCUUGCUUAAAAUUGUUUUUGGAUGAGUUGAGAUGAGAAUUGAGUGGAGAUUUGGGAUUAGUCUUGAGUUAUAUGCUUGAGGACAAGCAUCAUUUUGGUGUGGGGGAAUUUGUUAGAGUGCAAUUUAUGCACUAGUUUUGAAUUGUUUACUUCCCUUAAUAUCGAUGUUUUGCACUUAAUAAUAGUGAUUUACUUGUAUUUUAUUUUUAUAGGUGCAAUUCUAUUGAUUGGUGCAAAAAUUGAGCUACAAGAUGAUGUUUAAGGAUGAUUAUUCUCUUGGAGAAAUUAUGAGCGUCAGAAGAACUUUGUUGAUAACGCGUGGGCGCGUGCUUUCAUCUACGGACCUGUAGUUUUUAAUUUAAUGUGUUUUGUAUUUUUGGUUAUUUUUAUAAUUACGAAUUUAAUAUUUCAGAUAUUAGUAUUUUAUUUUAAAUAGAACUCUAGAGGAGAAGAGAGAUAGAGUAUUUAAGGGAGGAAUCUAUUGUGAAAAAAAGGAGAUUUUUGGAAAAGAAAGAAACCCUAGAUCUAAUUUUUUCUCUUCUCUCUAUGAAGAACUAAACCUAUUAUUCUGGUUGAAGGUUAAUGAAGCUUUGAUUCAUCACUACUGUGAGAUCUUUCUUAUGCUUUAAUUGUUUUAUUGCUUUUUGGGUAUUUGUUUAUUCUCUGAAUUAUUUUCAUGAUUAUGUUUGUUAAUUAGAUAAUUGGCCACUAUUUAAUUAUCAACUUAAUCUAUUGUCAAUUAAAGGAUUCAUCGUAUGAAGAUUUUAAUGUUUGUGACAAAUAACAUAGCAGAGAGUUGUGUUGUGAGAAUAAACAAUCUAAUUUAAAUGAACCAUCGUAUGUGUUUGUUGAUUAGGAUUUGGGUCUCUCUGGUUUUUCAAGCUGUCAAUUGAUUAAAUCCUAUGAUCGUAUCUAGGGUUGUCUAUUGAUUAGGGAAAUAACCAAUGGUCAUACCUUGGUUAUCGACUAGUUAAGGAGAGAUUGGCUAUUAGAGGAUCUCAGUAGCUAUAACCGGUCUAUUCAUAAGUAGUAAUAAUUUAUAUUUGAAUCAAUGAUCAGUAGUCGAAUCAAGUUGAGUUAAUUCCUUCAACCAGAGCUUUCUCCAAUUUGAAUUACAACUUUAAUUUGCAUUCUUGUUAUUUUAAUUUGAUUUUUAUUAUUUUCAACAAAACCCCCAUUUUAUAUUUUACGUUUUAAAAGGAUUUAAAUAAUUACCGAUCUCUGUGGGCACGACCCUGCUCAAUCACUAUACACAAUUUAUUUAGAGUAGGUAUUUAUUUUUGUCGGCUUCGACAACCAUCAUUUUGUUUCUUUAUGUAAUUUUUAGACUGCUCUGACAACUCAUCUUAAAGGUGCCACUCAUCCAAUAUGAUAUGGUGACAGUAGUUUAGAGUUUUAAACUAAAUGCAGAGCUAAUAGUAUUUUGGAAAUAUAAUCAUCCUAAGAUACUAACAAAAACAACAACUUCGGUGUAGAGAGAAAAUGAUUUCACAAAAGCAGAUGUUUUGAUUUAAGUCUCCAAAACCCCCACCAAAGAAAUGUUCAACGGAUAUAGAAAUAUGAUCCACAUAUCUGUAACUUAAACUGUGAAAUUUGUUGAUGCUGUUCUAAAAUUGCCACAAUCUAUCUACCCCAUGAAUGUUAUUGGAUAAAACAACAAGCAGGACCCAAUGCCUGUUUUCUAAUAGCUUCAAAAAGGCCAAAUUGGUUUUGAAAUGUCUCCAGCUUUUCAUUUAACAAGUUUAAGGAUCCCUUCGGCAUUGCAAUUGGGGAGCUCAGAUAUAUAAAAGUCUGGUAAACUCUUACAGCCGCAGCUUUUGAGCAAAAAUAAUUUUAUCUCAUAAUAUUUUGACAAAAAACUUAUAUCACCUUUUAUCAGUUUUGUAAAAAAUAUUAUUUAUAAGUCAUAUUUACCAAACACAAUCAACUUUUACAUCACAAUUAUAGCUUCUUUUUUUUCACCACACAUAUACAGUUAAAAUCUACAAGAACUCGAUAUCAAAUAGAUCCUAAAGCUUAAUCUAAUAAAAAGGUAAAUAAACAAAUGCAGAAGCCAGCGUACUUGAUCAAGACGCUCUGAAUAGUCACUGGGAAAGGGAAUAUCGACGUUAAUGGGGUUAUUGCCAUCGCUUGAAACCGAAUUGGUGAGACAAUUGCGUUUUCUUCUGUACGGAGAAAAUGUGACGAUUCUUUGACCACUGAAAAUUUCGAUUCUACAAUUUACCUGCAAUUAGUGACAAUUAUUCCGUUUAGAAACAAUUUUAAAAAAAAUAAAAAGUAAUAAUUACAAACUCAGAGUAUACCUGUGGACGUGGAAUUGAAGAAACUGGAAUAGGAAGCGUAGGGAGGGCAAUGGCUGUAUUGGAGGAUAACGGCAUUUUGAACCUCAAAGUAAAGAGAGAGAGAGAGAAGAAACGCUUCCCUUUCAAAUACCGCGCUCUUUUGUACCUGGGAAUUUAACUAAUUCAUGCGAAUAAAAAAAUUUAUAAAUUUGGUAAAUUAUUUAUUAAAAAAUAUUGAGAGGUUGUGCAUUAUUUUAUUAGUAAUGACAUGGUAAUAAUCAAAUUAGUUAAAUUAAAAUAGUUGUUGACUCAGUAAUUUAUUUUUAUUAUUUUUAUAUAUUUAUUUAAUUAAUUAAUUAAUGUUAUAUCUAUUUAUAUAAAAAUGUACAGUUCUAUCCUCACUCUUAUUUUAUUUUUAUUAUUUUAAAAAAAAUGGUCUGCGUUAUUAAGGUUAAGGGUGACAACUGGGAUUAAUAUACGGUUUAUUCGAGUGCUUAAAACCUAAUAAAUAUCCACUAACUCAUAUAUAGUAAAAAUAUAAUUAUUUUAAAAAAAAUUAAUAUAAACUAAACAAAUUGAUUGGAUUUUGUUUCUCAAGGUACAUCAUUAGAACGUUACUUUUAACUGAACAAAAGCACACAUAACUAGCACAUUCGCCACAAAAGCCUCGGCUUAGUGGUCGGCUUAUUAAUUAUCCUAAUUAAAUCAUGGUCAUAAAUUUGAGUCCCGGCAGGAAUUAUUAGGCUAGGUAGCUUUUAUAGACUACACUAUAAAUACAUGUAUUUUAAUUCUCGCGGGUAUUGCUUCUAGUAGUUAUCCAUCCGAGUAUAGUGCUUUGUAGCUUUCUUCACGACCUUCCCCAAUUUCAAUGAUUGUUAAUCAAUCUUCAUAGAAAAUGUGAUAAGACUGUAUUUAGAGAAAAGCUCAAUAAAUGAUUUUUAUAGGUCAUCAUUUCAUUUAAUUUUCCGUUAUAUAUAUAUAUUCACCUUUCUCAGAGGCCAAGAAGUCUUCGACAGAAAUGUGAUCCUUGAGCUUCUCCCAAGUUUCAAUUAAUUCGCUUUGAGUGAGGAUAUUUUCUGGUGGCCUCAAAUACAAUGUUUUGUUCAGUACUCGAGGAGCAUUUAUUGUCUUAAUAGUAUUUAUGGCAACAUCAUCGAUAUGCACAGUAAAAAAAAAGAUAAUCAUUUUGUUUAAUAUGAACAUAAAUUGUCAAAUUCUGAAUCAUAUUAUAGUGAACGAUAUUGUCGUAUGGUGUGUGUAUGUACUAUCUAUAGUUUUAAUAUUAUUAAUAAGGAGUUAAAAGUCUUGAUUUAAUUUUAAAUUGUUAUUCCUCUAACUUCACCGUCUCCAUAGAUGCAGACUCUAUCUUUUGAAGGGCGGGGGUAGCUAUAUUUGAGAGAGGUGUCUGGGGAACCAACCAGCAAAAAAUAGCUAGCAGAAACAUAAAUGACAAGGAUUUGAGCAGCCUUGAUUGCCCUUCUCACACAUGCGCUCUGUGUUCUCCCUCCAGCUCUCACUCACUCACGCCCAAAUCUCACCUCACUCACGUAUCUCUCCUUUCUGACCGGUGGUUUUCUCUCUCUCGCCGUGGGUCUCUAGGCUGGCGGGGAUUUCUCGACUUGACUACUAAAACAUAAUCCAAAAACUAUCUCGACUUGACUACUAAAACAUAAUCCAAAAACUACUAAGAUAUAUAUAUAUUACUAUGAUAUACACAAUAUGAAGAAACUGCAGUUAUAUUUCAAAUAUUUUAUGAAGGAAGAGGCUGUAUGGAUUAUCCAAAGGUGCUGAAAUUAAGAGACCCACGCCAACCGACAGAGUGAGUGAAUAUAAGGGGGUUAUUGGGUAAAAAUCACAUAACGCGCAAGCGAAAUUUUAGAUUAUAUUUUUUAAUACUCUCCGAGUCUCUCUUUCUCUUUCUUUUUUGGUUUGAACCACGAGGUGGUCCUGAGUGGGUCCCAACUAUGGAAAGCACUUUUAAGCCCGUACCACAACUUAGACUAAUCCCCACUCGCACCGGGUCGGCCCGUAAGGGGUAAAGUGCUGGGCAAAGUGGUGACUCCAUACGAGAGCGGGACUUGAACCCCUGACCUCUCUUAAGGAGUGAGAGUGCCGAACCACUCACACCAACCAACUUUGGUUAACUCUCUUUCUCUUUUUCUUUUUUUAAAUAAAUGUCAGUAUAAAAUUAGAAAAUUUUAGAUAUAAAAUUUGGCGAUGACCAAACAAAAAUUGCAGGGGAAACCUUGAUAUCAUUGAAAUACUAAUCAUAGACACUGCAGUAUAAAUAACUUCUUGUGAUCUACUCAACUUUAACACUUUAAUCCAUAUUCUAAAAUUUGCAUGUUUGUUAGGAUUUUUAUUAUUGAUACUGUUGUAUCAAUAAAAUUAUAAUUUAUUCAUAUGGAAUGAAAACAUCAAGAAAGGACCUCUGAAGUUUAUUAUAACAGAAAAAAAUGGUCCAUAAGUCUAUUUAUUAUUUUAUUUAUUCAAUACAAAUGGCCAACUUUAAAAAUGGUAAAAGUCACACAAUGCACAAGUAAAAUUUUAGAAUUAAAUUUUUUAAUUCUCUUUGAGUCUCUCUCUCUUUAAAAAAUAAACCUCACUGUAAAAUUAGAAAAAUUUUAGACGUAAAAUUUGACAAUCACCAAAUAGAAAACAUAGGCAAAUGAAAAUGGAGGAGCCCUAUUUUCAUUAGAAUAUUGAUCAUAGAUACUAUAAUGUAAAUCAUUUGUUGUGGUUCAUUCAACCUGUCACACUCUAAGCCAUUUUCUAAAAUUUGUAAGGUUUAUAGGAUUUUUAUUAUUGCCAUCAUUGUAUCAAUAAUAUUAUAAAUUAUAUAUUCUAUUGUAAUGAAAAUUUGUGCAAUCUUAGGUAUGUAUUAUAUUAAAUUGUGUGGAUUAAUUAAGAAUAUUUUUGGAGACAAAAGAAGUGUGUGUAUGUAAGAAUAAUGAUAAAAAAUUUCUAAAUAAAGGUGAUUGCUUCAUUGACAAGUACAUAUUUAUAUUCCUCUAUUAGUAUUUGGGUUGUAAACUCUGUUUAUAAAGUGAAUAUAUUGUGGUAAGCGAUGUGGGAAAUAUCGGAUGCGAAAUAUUGAGAGAUCAUUAACGCAUAUAUUUAUUGAAGAUGCAUAUAGAGGAAAGAGUGUAGAUCCGGCCGUAACACUUAUGAAGCUUUCCCUAAGUAUUCUCAUGCUUGCUUAACUAUUCCGAAGUAUUUUUCAUAGUGUGCAUAUUUACUUUAUGGUGUCUUUAUUCGUCUCAAAUGAUUACUACAGUUCUUUUGGGAUGAAAGGUCAUUUAUUUUGUUAAUUUUAAACAAUAGAAAAAAUAAAUAAUGGUAACGAAAGACUAAUUGUGAUAUUGAAGCGUACGGACUUUAACUCAAUCCAAAAAUUAGUAGGACCCACAUAUAUUUGAUGACGCUGAAAGUUACAUCAAUUGUAACUUAGAAACAUCCAAAUAUUAGACAAUAAUACACAAUAACAAUGCAUAUAAUUUGGGUUUGAUUUUUAAAAAAUUAUUUGAAUAUCACUUAUCCUUAAGAUAUUAAUUUGAAUAUAUUUUAAUAGUAAAUAAUAAAAAUUUGUUUAGUUAUUAUUUGUAUUUCAUACAUUGCAUGUUAGAUUUGUUUGAAUUUUAAGUUGUUGCGAAUAAAUAUUUAUGUUGUGAAAGUCGAAUUCAAUAGCUACAAAAGCAGAGAUAAUUGUAUUUUAUAUAGUUUUUAAGAAUACAAGGAUAAGAUCAUAACGCAUGAGAUAACGGUAUUUUAUAUUAAAAGACCAUAAUGCAUGUAUUUGAGCCAUUUAUAUUGAAGACACAUAUAGAGGAAUGAGUGCAGAUCCGACCAUAACUAUUGUGAAGCUUUCCUCAAGUAUUCUCAUGCACCCAAACCUUAUCUGGUCAAGGUUUCUGAUUGAAUAUAAUCAAUUUCCGUGCAGUACCGAAGACAGCUUCUGUUGGUAGUUGAAUUUGUGGGGAAUGACAAAUGUAGAGAAAUACAACAAUAAUGGUGGAACUUUAUUACGUAAAGUAAUGUGUUUACAACUAACUCUGUAUGUAGUAAGAAAAAUAAUAGUAAUAAGUAAACUUGCAAAAAUUUUGUGUGCUUGAAGGCACGUUACAAAUGUCGCUUUCCUUAAGACGUUAUUUGCCCCCACCAAUUGAGUGAUGCACAUGGGUUAAGCAAAUACGCAUCCAGGAUACAAUGAAGCACUUGUUUGUUUGCUAGUGUUGUGCAUCAACGAAAGCAAACCAGAAUACUCUUGAAUGUUGCAAGCCUGCCAAGAAACAAUAAAUUGUUCCUGCAGAAAACAAUAUAUUGGAUUGUGAAUGCACAAAAGAAAUGGGUGUUUUGUGUUGAAAUUCGUACUAGAAAGGAAUGCUAAGAAAAGAGUGGUGUAGGAUCAUUGAUUUCAUGUCUAAAUGGCUUAAACAUGACCCCUAUUUAUGGAUAUACUUGUGCCCCCUCAUUUGGGUUGUCAUCUUCAUGAUACCCCUUCAUUCAUGGCCAUUGGAUCUAUAUUUAAUUUUAAUCAAUGGUCCAAAUUGAACCAUCACCAUUUCAAAUGAAAUGUCACCAUGAAAUGAUGCAUCUCUAAGUGAAAUGUUACCAUGAAAAGUUAUAUCAUUUAGUAAAAAGAUACAUUUUCUAUAAGACAUAAUUAAAUAGACAUGUCCUUACAACAAGACAUCAUUUAAUUAGACAUGUCUUUAGUGAAAUGUACUUUUUCUAUAAGGCAGAAUUAAUAAGACAUGUCUUCACCAUAAGACACAAUUUAUUUUGAAAAUUUUCCAACAGCUUAUCUGUAAAGCUCUUCAACCACAAGCAUUUCUACAAGGCAAAAGACUAGGACGUGUUGGAAUGAAUAUCAAUAAGGGAAUGUCUUAUGAAUUUGGUUUAUAUCCUAAUAUAAGACAAUCAAUAAAUAUUGGAUGCAAUCUAAGGGCUAACAUUUGAUUGAUCAUUGUACGAAAAAAAAAGGUACAAAAAUACAAAACAGAGCUGAUUGAUGGCCUUUAACAGUCAGUUCUAUGACAAAGUAACCACCACAACAAAUGGAAUUAUAAGACAUCAAGAAACUUGAACUUGGCAGGAGGUCUCAUUAGCAGUAUACCUCAGAAAUUAAGACAGAGACUUUAAAAUGCAAGCUUAUGGAGUAAUUUAAGCACUGAAACUAAUAACAGUGAUGCAAAAAAAGGUGCAGAAGUACGGUAUUAGCAAUUGACCUCUGCUUUUGCUUGGACAAAGGUUUUCAUCACAAGGGACUCAUUAGUUGCCCUUGCCUCACACGAUUGGAUGCUAAGGGGAAAAAGGAAGCUUCUAACGGCAUUCACAGAGAACCUAUAAAACUAAAAAAAAAAAAAAUCAUCCAUGAAAAGGCUACUAACAAAAAAACUAACUCUUUUAUCUGCCACUGACCUAAUCCGCACUCAUUUAAUUAAAAAAGAAUUAAAAGCAAAACUAAAAGAUACAAAUUGCGUACAAGUCUAGGAGCCAUAUCAAAGGCGUUAUAUAACUUUUCCAAUUAAUAAAUUCUCUUAAGGGCCAUACCGUGCUCAUCAUUUCAAAAGCAAUUAAGGAUAAGAACUUUCAUCAUUAAUUGAUAUGGCCAGUGUAGAAAAAAUGAAAAAGCCCUCCAAGAUCAAAGCACAAGGAUCAGUUUAGAAUUACACUUUUUAAAUUUUGGUUAAUAAAUAAACGUUUAUAUGAAAAUAGAAAAUCUUUUUGGAAUAACCUUUUUUUUUCUUUUUUUAAUGAAUGUGGAUAUAAAAUUUUAAAAUCGCCAAACCGAAAAGAAAAACAGGGGAAUGAAAAGAGAGCCCACGUUUCUCCUCUCUUUUGUUUUUAUUGUUAUCAAACAGGGGAAUGAAAAGAGUGCUCUGUUUCUCCCCUGUUUUGAUUUUUUUAUUACUAAACAGGGGAAUGAAGAGAUCAGCUCUUGUCGCAAGCGCAAAUUUUUGUUUCUAAAUGCAGUUGGUUGUAACUAUAUUCGCAGUCCCUAGUACUUAGAAGUAAAGGCUCUUGGAAUUUCUAUUGUAGUACAUGAGAUGUUUCCCGUUCAAAUAGCUCGCCCGAUACCAUUAGCAUGUUCAUCUCUCUAUAGAUUGAUGUUGACAUAGAUGUUAUUCUACUUUUGCUAGUGGAGUUUUGGGCCUUGUCGUAAUUGGUGGAAUUACGACAUCGGUGGCUGACAUGGCUUUCCUUGUACAGGUAUGUAUGAUUGUUUUUUUUGCACGUCUAAAUGGCACUGUUGAAAAGCUUAAAAUUGAACUGAUAAUUUUGUUUGGAAGCUCAGAAAAUUCAUGAGAAAGUGAAAUAGAAUAUUCUGGAUUUCUUUUCUUUCCAUAACAUACAAAUGACAAACGUAGCAGUAUUUAUACUCGUUGCUUACAUCAUAAAAACAGAAUUAAAGCAAGUUAUACAACUAUAACAUAAUAAAAACCGUGCUUAACUAAUUGGCUGAGCUAGCAUAUACUUCUUUAACUAACACAUGCUUAUCGUGCAGCUACUCUUUAGUUCACACGUGCUCAGUGUGCUUCCUUAACAGACACAAGGGAAAAGACAUGAUUUUGAGAUAUAACGCUUGAAUGUUCUCGGAAUGGCAUAACGCUUUGUGUGUCUCGGACCUGUUAAGAAUAACAUAUGCUGAGUCAGCUGCUGAGUCAUCAAGCCACGCUGGAAGUUAGUUUUGCAGUUAGUUAGAGAGCUUAUCAGCUUCCCUCCAAAAGUUUGUUAUGUGUAUUAGAAUCUGGGCUCACGAGUUUUGUGAGAUUGUAACCUUAAGAAGAUUCUCACACUACUAUAAAUUGUAUUGUGACUCAAUUAAUAAAAUAAGUUGAAGCUUUGCAUUUUCUCUCAGUCAAAAUUUUCUCUCUGUUUUUCUAACCAAACAAGAUCUACAGAGCAUCUUGUAUUUUAACUUGGUAUCAGAGCUUGAAUCCAAUGGCCUUAAUCGGUUCCAAUCAACAGUCAAGCAACACUUCCAUAACUUCUUUCACCUUCACAAAUCCAAUUAAGCUUGAUCGUGCAAACUAUACGAUCUGGAAACAAUAAGUACUUUCUUCAAUUCGUGGCAAUGGUCUUGAAGGCUAUAUUGAUGGAUCAAGGAUCUGUCCUAGUCAAUUUCUUUCUCCAGAGGCUAGAUCUGAAGGUUCUUCUUCUUCUAACAUCGAAGGUCAAGAGAAUCCAGAGUAUGCAGCCUGGAGACGUCAAGAUUAGCUCCUGCUCAGCUGGAUUCUGUCGUCCAUGAAUGUAGAUAUUCUCAGUCUUGUGGUAAGCUCUAAGACUUCUUUUGAGUUGUGGAAAAAUCUAGAAAAAUAAUUUGGAUCUGAAUCUAUGGCUAAGAAGGUUCAUCUAAAAAUGCUUUUGAGUAACCUGCGAAAAGGAUCUCUAACCAUGUCUGAGUAUUUUACAAAGCUUAAGUCAGUUACAGAUGGUCUUGCUUUAGUUGGUAGCCCUGUGCAUGAUUCGGAUUUAGUCACUCAUCUUAUUACUAGUCUAGAUCAGUCAUAUUAUCCUGUAGUAGUCUAUAUUGAGGCAAACAUGUUGAAAAUGGAUCUUAGUGAGGCUUAUGCUAUGCUUCUCACACAUGAAGCUAGACUUGAGAAUAAUAAGCUUCAUGAUAGUAAGGAAACCAAGAACAAUUAUGCAGCAAAUGUAGCUCAGGCUGGAAAUUUUUCAAAGAAAGGUAAUAACAAUAAUCAAAACAACUGGAAGGCUGGAGGAAACAAUUGGAAUAAUAACUCUGGUGGAAGAGGUGGUUUUGGUGGUAAUGGAAGAGGUGGUUACCAAGGGUUCAAUCCAGGAAGAGGAAACUAGAAUAAUAAUAAUUUCAGAGGUGUUGCUGGUGGAUUUAAUAGUGGAUUUCCUGGUCCCGGUGGCUUCAAUAACAAUUAUGGCAGAGGUGGUUUCAACUCAGGAGGUGCUGGAAAGAAUUUUGCUCAGGGAACUGGUGCUGCUUGUCAGAUAUGCUUCAGGUUUAAUCACACAGCAGCUGAUUGCAGAGACAGGUUCAACCGAAAUUUUAUCCCAAAUUUUCCAGCUCCAGCUCCAAAUCACUUCUGUAAUCAGCAUCAAGGACCAAGAGCAGUCUUCAUAACAACAUCUGAAGGAGCUGCUGAUCAGGGAUGGUUUCUGGAUAGUGGUGCAACUCACCACUUAACCAACACAGUUCAGAAUCUGAGUGAUGGUAAAAUCUAUUUUGGCUCAAACUUACUUACUGUUGGUAAUGGCCAAGGUCUUAGAAUUACUCACAUAGGUUAUACACAACUUCACACUUCUUUUGGCACCUGUUUACAACUACAUAAUAUUUUGUGUGUCCCUCAAAUUACCAAGAACCUCAUUAGUAUUUCCAAACUCCUCACUGAUAAUGAUAUAACCAUUGAAUUUUUCUCUGAUGUUUGCUUUCUAAAGGACAAGGUGAAGGGCACUCUGUUGGCUCAGGGGAUAGCCUAUACAAGCUACUAUCAAAAGAGGAAUCUCUCUCUUCUUCCACUUCUGUUCUGCCAGUGUCUCAUCCUAGUUCUAUGAUGUCAACUCUUUCCUGCAAUAAUGUAGUUACUUCUGUUCAAAGUUCAAAUAAUGACUUCUGUUUUAAGUCUACAUUUCCUGUAAGCUUUCAAACUUCAAGUUAUGUGUCAGCAAAUAUGUUGCACAAUAGACUUGGUCAUCCAAGUAAACAUGUCAUACAAACUAUUCUCAGAAACAAUUGUUUAAUGUCAGCCAAUGUUAGUAAAUCAAAUUUUCUUUUCUGUGAUGCCUGUCAAUUGGGAAAGUUACAUCAAUUACACUUUCCUGCUACUGAAAUCAAAACAAAAAACCCCUUAGAAUUAAUACACACAGACUUAUGAGGACCAGCACCAGUUUUAUCACUAGAUGGCUAUAGAUACUAUAUUUCCUUUGUUGAUGACUUCACCCGAUAUUGUUGGAUCUUUCCUUUAGUUUUAAAAUCUGAUGCUCUUACUACUUUCAAAAACUUCAAGAGCUUAGUUGAGAAACAAUUCAGUCUGCCUAUCAAAAUUCUGCGGUCUGAUAUGGGAGGUGAAUUCAAAGCUUUUCAGUCCUUUCUUCAACAAGAAGGUAUCCAAGCUAGAUUUAGUUGUCCCUAUACUCACCAUCAAAAUGGUGUUGUUGAGAGAAAAUAUAGACACUUAGUAGAAACUGGAUUAACACUCCUUACUCAAGUAAAAAUGCCUAUUUCUUUCUCGUGGGAGGCUUUCCAUACAGCCUCCUAUCUCAUUAAUAGAAUGCCUACCACUACACUGAACAACUUAUCUCCCUAUCAAAAGCUUCAUAAUCAGCCACCAAACUAUCAACUUCUCAGAGUUUUUGGUUGUGCUUCCUAUCCUUUUCUCAAGCCUUAUAAUGAUCACAAGCUUGAUUUUCAUUCCCAAAAAUGCUUGUUCUUAGGUUACAGCCCUCUUCAGAAAGGAUAUAGGUGUCUAACAAAGUCAGGUAAAGUAUAUGUUGCUACUCAUAUUGUUUUUAAUGAAUCUGAUUUUCCCUAUUCAGAGUUGUUCUCUUCAUCUGAGUCUUCUUCCAAUUCUCUAUCAUCAUACUCUCCAUCUAUUUGUAUCCUUAAUGACAGUGGCUUGCAUCAAUCAUCAGCUACAUCUCCUACUUCAGCAAAGUUACCAACUAUACAUUCACCUCAACAUCCUCACCAAGCCCCACACUCUCCUUGUCCCUCUCCAGUCUCAGAUUCCUACAGCUAAUCAUCACCACAUUCUUCAUCACAUAAUGCUUUAGCCAAUCCCUCUGAUGAAUUACAACCAUCAUCUCAACCUGUCAUUUCAACUCAUCAGAUGGUCACUCGAGCCAAAUCUGGUAUUUUUAAACCAAAGACCUACCUUACAGCUACCCAAGACCUUGAACCAGUGAGUGUUAAAGCAACCCUAAUUGAUACAAAGUGGAAAAUGGCUAUGCAAGAAGAGUAUAAUGCCUUGCAGAAGAAUGGCACCUGGACAUUAGUUCCAGCUGAAACAGCUACAAAACUUGUUGGCAAUAAGUGGGUUUUUCGAGUUAAAUAUAACCCAGAUGGCAGCAUUUCCAAGUAUAAGGCUCGGUUGGAUGCAAAAGGUUUUCAUCAAACCUAUGGAGUAGAUUUCUUUGAAACUUUUAGUCCAGUUGUUAAACCCUGCACUGUUCGUAUUGUUCUCAGCUUAGCAGUCAUGCAUUGUUGGCCAGUUCGGCAAUUAGAUGUUAACAAUGCCUUUCUUAAUGGCAUGCUUACUGAAGAUGUGUUUAUGCCUCAGCUAGAAGGCUUUAUCAGCUCUCAGUUUCUCAAUCAUGUCUGCAAAUUACAAAAAGCCCUUUAUGGUCUUAAACAGGCUCCAAGGGCUUGGUAUGAUAGAUUGAAAGGGUCUUUAGUUCAGUGGGGUUUCAAAUCUUCAAAGUCAGAUACUUCACUGUUUUUCAAGCAUAUUGGCAAUAAUGUUCUCAUCAUCCUUGUUUAUGUAGAUGAUAUCCUGAUAACAGGCUCUAGUGAUGUUUAUAUUUAAGAGGUUAUCAGUCUACUUAGCUCAGAAUUUGCACUUAAAGAUUUAGGAGAUUUUAACUACUUUCUUGGGGUAGAAGUGACUCCAUCUGCUGAAGGAUUACAUCUAUCUCAAACUAAGUAUGUUGGUGACAUCUUAAGAAAAGCUCAUAUGCUUGAGAGUAAAGGUUGUAAUACACCUAUCAGUGUUGCUGAUAAAUUGCAGAAGGACAAAGGCUGCUCAUUUACAAAUCCCUCACUUUACAGAAGCAUCAUUGGUUCUCUGCAGUAUCUGACACUGACCAGACCAGAUAUUGCAUUCACUGUAAACAAAUUGAGUCAGUUUUUAGCUGCUCCAACUAUCUUGCAUUGGCAGGCUUGCAAGAGGGUAUUACGAUAUCUACAAAGCACAUCACAUUUUAGACUGCAAUUCUUCAAGUCAGGUUCUCCAAGUCUCAUAGCAUAUUCUGAUGCAGAUUGGGGGUCUGAUCCAGAUGAUAGAAGAUCUGUUGGAGGGUAUUGUGUUUAUCUUGGAUCCAAUCUUGUGUCUUGGUCAUGUAAGAAACAGAACAUUGUUUCCAGGUCAUCUGUUGAAUCUGAGUAUAGAGCAUGGCCUUAGCUACAUCUGAGGUUUUGUGGAUUACAUAUCUAUUAAAAAAGCUCAAAGUAUCACUUCCCAAACCUCUUGUUCUUUACUGUGACAACAGCAGUGCAGAAGCUUUGGCUAGCAAUCCUAAGUAUCAUUCCAGAACUAAACAUAUAGAACUGGAUUUACAUUUUUUCAGAGAACACAUUGCCAACAAGGAUCUCUUCAUUGAACAUGUGUCUAGUUCUGAUAAGCUAGCUGAUGUGCUUACCAAACCUCUGAGUUUUGAUCAUUUUGCCUAUAUGCAAACUAAGGUCAAUGUCUGCCCAUGACCUUGAGCUUACGGGGGCAUUUUAAGAAUAACAUAUGCUGAGUCAUCAAGCCAUGCUGGAAGUCAGUUUUGCAGUUAGUUAGAGAGCUUAUCAGCUUCCCUCCAAAAGUUUGUUAUGUGUAUUAGAAUCUGGGCUCACGAGUUUUGUGAGAUUGUAACCUUGAGAAGAUUCUCACACUACUAUAAAUUGUAUUGUGACUCAAUUAAUAAAAUAAGUUGAAGCUUUGCAUUUUCUCUCAGUCAAAAUUUUCUCUCUAUUUUUCUAAGUAACCAAACAAGAUCUACAGAGCAUUUUGUAUUUUAACUGGAGCGGCUGAUUGGUGCUGUACGUGUUACAUUUUUACUUUUUUAACUCAAGUCUGCUGUUGUCCCAAAGUUGGAACUAGAGAUAUCAUUUCACCUCAACUGUGUUUUUUUUUUAAUUAAAAAAAUCAUUUGUUUUAGGUAUACAUACAUGUAUUUUAAUUCUAUUUUCCUUGUAAUUUCUCCUUUACUUUGAAUGAAAGUCAUUGGUGUUUUCGAAUGGGAAUUUUGCAUUAAAAAAUUAAGAAUAGUUAAUAGGAAAUUUCCUGAUUCUUUAGUUACUAUUUUUGGUAUGAGUGUAAUUAGUAGUAAAGUUGGUUUCUACUCGCAAACAAGUGAACUGCUCGAUUCCCAAGUGCUAUUAACCAGUUUCCAACUUUUUAAUAUACACUAAUUGUUCCUGUUUAAUAGCUACUACUAUUAAAACUCAACAGCUAACAAAAAUACUAAAAAAAAUGAUUUUUUCUUAUGAUGCUGUGAAAAAAAUUACGGGUUUACUUAUUUCCACGAGAUCUUGUAUAGUGUUCUUGUAUAGUGGAAUUAAGAUUGUCUUCCCGAUGGUGCAAUUCACCCUCUUCCUUUACAGUCACUUGCACUUUGUGCAGCUUUGGUGUGGAUAAGAUUCCCAGGGAAAAAGUCUUCAUGUUCGGACAAUGUGUCACAAAUACUCGUUCCAAUGAUGGGAAUUCAAGAGGGUAAUUCUCCAAACAAAAGCUGGUAAGCCUUGGUAAAUACGACUCUCCUUCACUUCUUCUCCAGCAUGUCCUACGAUUUCUUCUAAUUUUUUGCAGUUCCAUACAUAAAGAUUCACCAGACUAGUAGGAAUUCCAACCUGAAAAUAAGCAGAGUGUGUGUGUGUGUGUGUAUAUAUAUAUAUUAAAAAAGUAAAUAUGUAAGAGUAUCAUUCAACUAGGCUCAAAGAAUGUUUAAUCAUACAAUUAUACGUUUUAUGAACAUAACAAACUGUGAAAUAUCUACUAGAUAUUUUUUGUUAAACAAAAAAGGUAACAAGAUAAAUAAAUAAAUAAAAGCCAGAUAAACAAAGAUGAUAAAAAUGUAUUUACACUAUUUAGUAUUAGGGACGUAGAAAGAAUUUAUGGCAAUUUCUAAAUAUUUUGGACUUAUUUUGCAUCUUGAUAUAAGUUUUUAAGCAUAAAUUUGCAAAUUUCAACUAUUCCUUUAAAAAAAAAACUCAACUAAAAUGCCUCUUUUUCCCUUUUCCUUGGUCCCUAUUUUUUAUGUAUAUAUAAAAAUGGAAAAAAAAAUUUUGGAAAAGACUUCCCAGUACUGUCAACAAGGGAUUGCUGUAAAGUGGAUCUUUAUUAAGUACUUCCAGACUCGAGGAAAUUUCUUUACAAUCAAGGGUCAGUUGUAAACAAUCAUGAAUUUGUGGUUAAUUAAUGGCAUAAUCAAUUCUUAACUAAACUGGAGAUAUUAAUUAAAUUUGAAGACUUUUUUUUUUUCCAAUCGAAAUGUGAAGAAUUAAGGAAAAGAGAAAUAUAUAGAUGAAUUUGUGAACCUAUAAGAUGAGUGACUAUCCUUUAAUUUUUGAAAAUUGUACUUAUUAAGACAUGAGCAGAAACAAUUAAAUUGAAUUAUAUUAUGCUGUUGAAUCGUGAUUAAAAAAAUUAUAUUGUUGAUUCUAAUGCUGGCGAACCUAAAAACUGGACUUAAAACGUAGAUUUCAGAGUGGUGGUUUGAAGUACAAUACUUGAAAUAAAUAAUCAGUGGCUAAAUAUCAUUUGUAAACCCAAAAAUGGUUAAAAUAUUGUUGAAUGUUAUUUGAAAAAAAAAAAAAAGAGAUUCAAAAUGAAUAUUCUUACCAAUGGAGGAAAAAUAUUCUUUAGGUUAUCACACCAAGAUAUCUCCAAAUUCUUCAAUUUGCUGAAAGACUCCGAAGCAAGCUGGUGGUGCCAUAUUUUUCUCAAAUUAUCCAUCCAGUCAAUACGUAAUACCUCCAACCUAGGAAGUCGUACCUGACAGUUAAAGAUUAAAUAACUAAUUAAUCAAUUAAUGGCAUAAUCAAUUGAUAAAUAAAUUAGAGGCGGAUAUUAACUAAAUUUGAAGACUCAAGGAAAAGACAAAUUAAAUAUUGUGACUAAAAUAAAUUUAAAAAAAAAAAAAACCUUUUCGUCAAAGAGAGGAGGUUGCAUUUCAGAAUGAAUGGUGUCUUCUGGUGAGCUCGUGGAGAUGAAUCUUAACAUAUUCCAGCAACUCUGAAUCUCGAGGUUUAGCAAAGAAGGGAAUUCAACAACUAAAUCUGAAUGAAUAUGUCCCGUAUUGGCAAAGCUUGUUAGUUCUGGAAGCCAAUAGAGCCGCAGGAAGUGUAGUUUAGGAAAUACCUUUAAUUCAAUCAACUUUCCUUCAUCUCUUUCUGACCAUCCCGUGGUGUCGACUACCCCUUCCAUUGACUCACAAUAGCUUAUCUCAAGAUGUUGGAGCUGCAAAAGGCUAUUAACCAUAGAAUAUGAAAACAGAUACUUCAUACGAUGACAACCGACCACGUGCAGCUUUGUUAGAUUUUGACAACAGUACAUUCCUUGAUUAUGAUCGGCCCAUAAUUUUUUCAUGUUUCUCAAGUCCCUGAGAUUCAAUUCCUCUAAGCUCGGAAGAAUAACCUGCAAAGAAAACCCGUACAUUUUUGUUCCUUCAAGUACAACCGUCUAGUAUAAUAUUCUUUUGAUGAUCGAAGAUUAAUCGUGAUAAUAAAUUAAUCAAUUAAUUAUUGAACAGAAAAUUAUCACCUUUGGAGCAGGAUCAUCAUCAGAAAUGAUUUCGUUGAAUCCCAAAGAAGUUGUUGGUUUGUCCAUGUCGGGUCCUAUAAACAAACAAAAACAAUAUACAUAAUUAAUCUUUGUCGUUGUCUUUUUUUUUCAAAAUAAUUGAGGCGAAGUCCAUAAAUCCACCAACACUUAAUUUCAACACUUACCAACAAUCAUUUCCAGAUCAUCGCAAAAAAACACUUCUACCUUUUGAAGCCACAGUAGGUUUUUGGCCAUGGAGAAUGAGAAAAGAUGCUUCAAUUCGUGACAGUCUGAUACUUUUAUAAUCCUUAAGUUGCUGAAAGAUUGAUCUUCUGUGAGUUGGCUGUCACAUAUUGUCUCCAAAUUUAUCAAACGACGAAGAGACAAUGACUCCAGCAAGGGGAAGACUUUGCGACGAACCCGUCCAACUGAACAGACAAUAUGCAAAAUCUCAGACCAACUUUUUACAGCAAGGUGCUUCAAUCGUGGAAAACCUUCCCCAUCAUCUAAUUCAUGAACAACAUUCUGAACACCCUUCAGUUCUUCUAGAUAGAGAUAUUCAGUUCUCUUCAACAACAGUUUCAUCCUGUAAUUCUGCAAAAGAAUGCCAAACUUUUCCAGCCUCUGGAGCUUCAUCAAUCUUGAUAAUCCAGAUUUAACGGACCAGCUGCUCCCCCACUUAUUUCCUAUACAUAUCCUAUAGGUAGAAGUGUUCUAGCUAUUAAUUUUAUACAUAUCUUCUAUAGGUGUAUUCUAAUUAAUUUCAUACAUCAGAUUUUUAGAUAAAAAUAAAGAAGUAAAAAAAAAAAAUCUUCACAUCAUCUUAAGAAAUUCAAAGCCAUGAUACCACAUCCAAUCACGAGAAUCCAUUUUCCUAUGAUCACUGACCUUUAGGUGCGGUGCUUGGUUUGAAGAAGGGAAAGGGGGUGAGGAAAGUAAUUUGAAUUCCUUUCUUAUUUCCGUUGUUUGGUCGGUCAUAAUAUAAAAGAAUUUAAUUUUCAUUAAAAUUUAAUAUAAUCAUAAUGUGGAAUUUAGAUUUCUCAAUAAAGAGUGAUGAAUCUUGGUUUGGGUCUGUUUUGAGUUUAUUUUCAUUUAUUUGGCUAUGUUUUGAUAGCGAAUUUUGAUAUGUCAAUAUAACGUGUAAUUGUUUUGGGUUGAGCUGGUAAUUAUGCUGGAUUAGAUUGGUUUGGUUUUGGUGCUUCUCUGAUGGAACACUGUUUUUUUUAGAAAUUUUGAAUGUAAUAUGAGACUACAUUUAGUUUAAUUGAACACUGCAUCUAGUCUAAUUACUAGAAGUGCGGCAUUUGGUUUGGUUUAUCCUAUAUUCUCCAGAAUUUCACUUGCAUCUGGUUUUGUUGCAUAUGUUUGCUUGCAUUUGAUGGCAGUAGCAGACUGUUUGGUUUUGUGACAUUUGAUGGCAGUUUGGUCUGUUCUUGGUGUUGGUUUAAGAUUGUUCCUGUUGUGCUGAUGUUAAUUGCAGGUGCUUGAAUCAGCUAGGGUUGCUGGUUUAUUCAGAUGGUUGACUCAGGCGUUGUUACUGGUUAAUUCAGGUGGCUGACUCAAGUUGUUCAUUUAAUGUUAGGAAGCAAAUUAAGAAUUAAUGAAGUAUUCAUUAAACUAUAAUUAUUGUAGUUAUUUUAUUUCAUAACUGAAUUAUAAUCUAUGAUACUUGUGAACAAAUUAGAGAAUUUUUAUAUAUGAAUUAUAUAUAUGUGUAUGUACAUUUUGCUAAUAAUUUAAAGAAUAUAUUUCAAUUCCCACAAAAAAAUGGCUCCAAUUUCAAUAAUUCCCGCCAAAUAAUUAAAUUUUUUUAAUUUACCACCAAAAUAUAUCUUAAAGAAAUUUUAGUUAUUCUUGCUAGAUUUAACAAAAAUGAUUUGUAGGAUUAACAUUUAAUUAAAAUAAUUAAAUAAUUUUAUUAUUCCAAUUAAAUAUGUCAUGUUUAUACGACAGACAAUAUUCAUGAAUGGGAAGUAUUAGUUACGUAUUUUUCCUUGGGAUUUCAGGCAAAUGAAAAAAAGAUUGAGAAUGAUUUCAAGAGGACAGGUGGAUGAUAAGUAUUCAUUUUUGUAUAUUUGUCUAAUGUCCUCAUUAGUGGAUUUUUAUGGUAUUGAUCUUUUUUUUUUUUUUUUUAAUUUUCAAUUAGUUGCAGCCCUAGAGGAAGAGCAGGCUGAUCAAAUUGAUUUGUCUUGUUUUUCGGGCAAUCUACGACAUGAUGACCGUGAUAAUGCUCGUGACUGCUGGAAACUUUCUGAUGGAAAUAACUUUAGAGUUCGUAGCAAGCAUUUUUGUUAUGACAAAACAAAGGUUCCCCCAUAAUUUGUUUGUUUGUUAUGGUAUUUAUAUAUCCUGCAUAGGCUAGGUAGACAAGUUAUGAUGUACGUGUUUCUCAUAUAGAACUCAAGUCUGCUGUUGUCCCAAAGUUGGAACCAGAGAUAUCAUGACUCUGGUUUCAUUUCACCUCAACUGUGUUUUUUUUUUUAAUUAAAAAAAUAUUUGUUUUAGGUAUACAUACAUGUAUUUUGAUUCUAUUUUCAUUGUAAUUUCUCAUUUACUUUGAAUGAAAGUCAUUGGUGUUUUCGAAUGGGAAUUUUGCAUUAAAAAAUGAAGAAUAGUGAAUAGGAAAUUUCUUGAUUCUUUAGUUACUAUUUUUGGUACGAGUGCCAUUAGUAGUAAAGUUGGUUUCUACUCGCAAACAAGUGAACUGCUCGAUUCCCGAGUGGUAUCAACCGGUUUCCAACUUUUUAAUAUACACUAAUUGUUAUUGUUUAAUAGCUACUACUAUUAAAACUCAACAGCUAACAAAAAUACUUAAAAAAAAUGAUUUUUCUUAUGAUGCUGUGAAAAAAAUUACGGGUUUACUUCUUUCCACGAGAUCUAUAACAUGGUCUUGAUUUCACGAAAUUCUUUUAAUUUAAAGCGUGCUGGUGUGAGAAGGUCAGUUUGACUGAUUAAUUCUUUUUAACAGUGGUCGAGAUAAUUUUACUAUACUCGAAAAUAUUCUUAUUCUGAUAAAGCCAUAAAUGUUAUGCUGUUUUCUUCGGCUAAUGAUCUUCUAUCAGGAGAGGUUAGAAAUCAAAUGCUUAAAAGACCAAUUGAACGAAUAAUACAGAAAUUUAGGCAGAAUCUAAUCGAAUAUUGUAUGAAACAUGAAACAUCAAUUCAAGUCCUUUCUUAAACAAAGAAUGCAUCAAACAAAAUCCAAAGUGUCUUGCAAGUUUGUAGCAUGAGCAAAAAAUUGUAAAUAUGUAGAACCAAAUUAUUCAAGUACAGAAGAACGAGCAAGCUAAAUCAUGUAUAAGAGAUUGGCCUGGUUCAGGAUAGCUUCUUCACUGUAGCUGAAGGGUUGGCUCAAUCUCUUCUUUAGAAUUCUGCAGAUUUUGUAAUUACUCGUGUAAGCAAGCAUACAUUGCCACCAUAAGAAUAAUAAAGCAAGAGUAAUGAUAUGACCACCACCUCUUGUGCACAAACAAUAUUGUAUAAACUAAUGCGACAUAAUAUGAUUGGUUAAAUAAAAACAUUACAUGGCCCUCAUAAUUUAUUUAUUUAUUUAUUAUUAUUAUUAUAUAUUUUCAAUCAACCAAUCAUAUUAUAUCACAUUAGUUUCUAUAAAAUAAUUUGCUAAAUAGCACCGAAACUUAAUUGAUACUCACCAUUUCAUUGAACAAUUUUUUUAUGGUGUCAUUGAGGUUGCCUUCCCAACAUCCUUCAUCAUCAUCAUCUUCUUCAUCAUCAUCAUCUUCUUCUUCAUCAUCUUCAUCAUCAUCAUCUUUUUCUUCUUCGGUGACGUUCACUUUGUUUAGCAUUGGUGUGUCUAAGACUCCUUGAGAGAAGAUCUUCAUUUUUGGACACUGUCUCACAACUACUUGUUCCAAGGAUGGGAACUCAAGAGCGUAAUUACCCAAACAAAAGCUUGUUAGGCUUGGCAAACAAUCAAGUCCCAAGUACUCCAAUUUCCUGAAAACAAUGCAAUCGUCCGCUUCUUCUCCAACCUGCGACUGUAUAAUUUCUUCCAUCAUUUUGCAAUCAGUUAUCUUCAUUCUUUCAAGAUUCACUAGACUUUCAGAUGUUGAGAGCGUCAAUAAAUUUAUCAACCCAUGACACUUCGAUACUUCCAGAGUCGCAAGAUUUUCCAAAUGCCACGAAGCUGGUACUAAUUUCUGCAACUUACUACAUUCAAAUAUUUCUAGACUUUUCAAGUUUGCAAACACUUUGUUGGAUUUGGCAUUUUCCUUCCAGAGAUGCUGCACUUUGUGUAAUCCAGAUAGCUUUAACUUCAUCAAUUGAGGGAAUGCAACCUGGAAAUCAACAAAAUUAAGUUGUAAAUGAAAAUAUGUAUCCAAUCUCUGCAGUCUUCCCCUGCAUAUUUUAUGGACAAGAUUAAUCACGGCAUUUUAUAUUUUAUUUCCAAAUUAGUAUGCUUUGCAGUAGGAUCCCAAAUAUAAGUAUCAAAUCGAUUACCCUUUGAAACACAUAAAUGAAAUCUGAUCCUAAAUCCAAUAUGAAUUAGCUAGGAAAACAGAGACCUAACACGCAUAAUCGAUAUAGUUCAUCACCUCCUGUCACUAGGCAUCUAAUUAAUUUGAGACAUUUUUUUAAUUCAUACUAUAAAGUUAGUUAAUAACUACGGUUAUAUUGUUAAACAUGUAUAAAUUAAGACGACGUGCAAAAAGAUGAGUCAUUAAAUUUGAUUUGAUUCUAAUGAAAUUAUAUCUGUGUGAAUGAAAGUGAAGGGAAAAAUAAUAAUAAUGUUACCUUUUCAUCGAAGAGAUGUUGUAUUUGAUUAGCUACCAAGAGGUUCUCUUCUUAUUUUAAUUUUUGAGCUUCCUUAUUAUCUGUUGUCAUGUGCAGUACAGAUGUAGAAUUGGACAUGAAUGUUUCCAUAUCAGGGCAAUUCUCAAUAGUUAGAUAUCUCAACUCAGGCAGUUCAAUUAUAUUCCCAGUGAAGUUGCAGAAUCUUUUGAGUUUUGGAAGGUCAAUGAGCCUUAGCUCAAAAAGCCUAGGAAACAGGGGGCCUAUAUGUUCUUCCUUGGCAUUUAGCUCUUCCAAAUGAAGCACCUCUUCUAGUGAAUCACAAUUCCUCACUUCCAGCCAUCUCAAAUUGUUCAAGCACCGUAUCAGAUUGGCAGGAAUAGCACUCGACAUAUUCGUGCGGUCAUCCACCACCAGGUGUCUUAAAUUGUUGAAGAAGCUGACAGGCAGUGCUUGGCCAUGC
RNAcentral lists this long non-coding RNA (55443 nucleotides) under Citrus x clementina. RNAcentral describes it as "Citrus clementina (C. clementina) long non-coding RNA (CCLE_LNC002765)". The record is from RNAcentral. Lineage: Eukaryota; Viridiplantae; Streptophyta; Magnoliopsida; Sapindales; Rutaceae.